UUCUUCCUGUGCGGUACCCCAAACAAAAGGCACAUCCUUCUUUGUAAGCUCGUUGAGAGGUGCAGCAAUGGUGCCGAAAUCUCUCACAAAACGCCUAUAGAAACCAGCGAGGCCAAGGAAACUCCUCACUUGUGUGACCGUUUUGGGCUGCGGCCAACUCUCAAUAGCUUCAAUCUUGGCUUUAUCAACUUCAAUUCCCUGUGGAGUAACAACAUAGCCAAGAAAUGAUAUUCGGUCGGUGCAAAAGGUGCACUUUCCAAGGUUUCCAAACAAACGUGCAUCACGUAGAGCAAUAAAAACAUCACGUAAAUGUUCCAAAUGUUCCUCCAAAGAUUUGCUAUAAAUCAAUAUGUCAUCGAAGUAAACUACCACAAAUCGUCCAAUGAAAGCACGUAAAACUUCGUUCAUUAACCUCAUGAAAGUACUAGGUGCAAAGGCUCAGAUUGGUUGGGAUAUGAUGAACUAACCCUAAUUUUUUUUGGCUUUUUCGUGGACUGUAGGUAUGAAGAACAGACUCGAUCUAAUCUAUGAAAAACUAUAAAAUCUCACCGAGCAACCUGGAAAUCUGAUACCACUUGAUAGAGGCUAAGGUGUCCCGAUGUUUCGAUGAGAUGGUGGCUAUCGUUUUCUGUGGGAGUCGACCUUGACGAUCCGACUACGAACGUGCGAGAUGUCGCGCCUUAGCAAUCGCUAAACCAACUUCCGAGGGUUAUUGACCACGUCGGAGCACGAUCAACCUGACCACGAGGGUCUGUUUCCUGUGAGCAAACGAAGAACAAGCAAGAAACUGAGAUUGCAAUCGAGAUAUUGCGAAUAUGAGAUGAAAGCUUUAUUGAUCUAGGUGGGGUUCUGUGACGUCUUGGUCUGGUCGUUGGACACAAACGAAGUACGCGAAGUUGCAGCUAUGGCGAACUUUUAAUCUAAACAAAACCCGAAGUCUAAACGACGCCCUAAGGGCUGUAUAUAUGGAGGAAGAGGGGGGAAUUUCGUGGCCCUUGAGGGCGGGGUCCGAAACCAACCCUAACUCUUGUUUCCCCACACAUACGGACUCUAAAAAUAGCAUAUACUUAAGUAUUUAGAAAUUACAUGGGCCUGGCCCAUUAAUAAGGUGAAGCAACACCUAGAAUAGCCUAUGGACGAAUAUUAUGAAGUGGCAUCUUGUAUAUUUCGUCCAAGGCUUCAUGCACUCCUUAUGGCGGCUUCAAAGUCCUGAAAUCAUCACUUGUAACUCCGUUCUUGAUCCCCUUGGGCAUGCCAUCAACUCCAUGCGUGUUCUUGCUCCAAUGUUCAUCCUUCUCCAAGCUAGGCCCUUCAUUUGUAAGCAAAACAAAUGUAUCCAAUUUAGGCAGCAUCAUAAUCUCAUGAACAUUAGAAUCAUUACCAAGAAACGAAAGUACAUGGUAAUUUAAUUGGCGUGCACGAGCUCUAGUAAUUGGUCCAGUAUAUGUAACAGUAGGGGCUGUGGGUGUAACAAUGGUAUUUAUGUCCUCAUCAUCCUCCCCUUCUUGAAAUGAAGUCGUCCUCGACGGAAGCGCAUCUUCCUCACCCAAAUAAGGCUUCAAAUCUGCAAUGUUAAAAGUGGGACUAACCCCAAAAUCUACAGGUAGCUCAAGUUUAUAUGCAUUAUCAUUUAUUUUCUCUAACACCUUAAAAGAACCAUCAGCACGUGGCAUUAGCUUUAAUUUGCGCAGAUUAGGAAAUCUAUCUUUACGCAAAUGUAACCAAACAAGAUCUCCAGGCGCAAACACAACAUGUUUUCUACCCUUAUCUCCAGCAAGUUUAUAUUUAGCAUUCAUACGCUCAAUGUUUUCCUUAGUUAACUCAUGCAUUUUUAAAAUCAAUUCAGAACGUUCUUUAGCAUCAAAAUUAACCUUCUCUGAAGAUGGAAGAGGCAACAAAUCAAUAGGUGCACGAGGUAGGAAACCAUACACAAUUUCAAAAGGGCACAUCUUAGUAGUAGAAUGCAAUGAACGAUUAUAAGCAAAUUCAAUAUGAGGCAAGCAUUCUUCCCACAUUUUCUUGUUAUUCUUCAAAACAGCCCUAAGCAUAGUAGACAAUGUUCUAUUGACUACUUCAGUUUGUCCAUCAGUUCGGGGGUGACAAGUAGUACUAAAAAGCAGCUUAGUCCCCAACUUAGCCCAUAAACAUCUCCAAAAGUGGCUAAGAAAUUUAGUAUCAUGAUCUGAAACAAUAGUAUUUGGCACACCAUGUAAGCGAAUAAUUUCACGAAAGAACAAAUCAGCAACAUUAACAGCAUCAUCGCUUUUAUGACAUGGUAUAAAGUGUGCCAUUUUCAAGAACCUAUCCAUGACAACAAAUAUGCUAUCCCUCCCCUUCUUUGUUCGAGGUAAACCUAAAACAAAGUCCAUAGAUAUAUCCUCCCAAGGAACACUAGGUACAGGCAAAGGCAUAUAUAAACCAUGAGGAUUGAGUCGUGACUUAGCUCUUUGACAUGUAGUGCAGCGAGCAACAAAACGCUCAACAUCCCGACUGUACCUGGUAAUUUAAUUGGCGUGCGCGAGCUCUAGUAAUUGGUCCAGUAUAUGUAACAGUAGGGGCUGUGGGUGUAACAAUGGUAUUGAUGUCCUCAUCACUCCUCCUCCCCGCCGUGCACUACUCUGGUGCCGGCGUCCACCUUCUCGUCACUAGCCGCUCCGGCUACGGCGGCCACCCUCCCGCUCCGGCAACGGUGGCGACCCAUCCUCUGCGCUAGCUCUCCCUCCGUUGAGGUCGCCACAUCUGCGCUCCACUGCGGCCAGUCCGCGUUCCGUCUCCUCCUCGUGCCAUGGGGAACACCCCGUGGUCUCCGGCCUCGGCCUCUCGCCGGCGUCCGAGAGCUCGGCCGCGGCGGAGGCGUCUGUGGGGGCGACGGUGGAGGCCCUCUUGGCGGCGUCUUCUCGGCGCAUCGUGCCAUGGAAGGAGGCCCCAGUCUCAAAGCAUACCCUCUAGAAGCGUCGCAGGGAGGCCGGGAAGCCGGAGGUGGCCCCGCGCCAUGCCUCACCGGGCCGCAAAGAGGUCUCGCCGGAGAUGAGGGAUUGGUGUGUUGGGGAACGCAGUAUUUCAAAAAAUUUCCUACGAUCACACAAGAUCUAUCUAGGAGAUGCAUAGCAACGAGAGGGGAGAGUGUGUCCACAUACCCUCGUAAACCGAAAGCGGAAGCGUUUAGUAACGCGGUUGAUGUAGUCGAACGUCUUCACGAUCCAACUGAUCCAAGCACCGAACGUAUGGCACCUCUGUGUUCAGCACACGUUCAACAUGAUGACGUCCCUCAAGCUCUUGAUACAGUUGAGGAUGAGGGAGAGUUCCGUCAGCACGAUGGCGUGGUGAUGGUGAUGAUGAAGUUACUGACGCAGGGCUUCACCUAAGCGCUACGAAGAUAUGACCGAGGUAUUAAACUGUGGAGGGGGCACCGCACACGGCUAAGACAAUUGAUCUUGUGUGUUCUAGGGUGCCCCUACCUUCAUAUAUAAAGGAGGAGAGGGGGAGGCCGGCCGGCCCGUGUAGGGCACGCCAAGAGAGAGGAGUCCUACUAGGACUCCAAGUCCUAGUAGGAUUCCACUUGGUGGAAGGGGAAAGAAGGAAGGGAGAGGGAGACGGAGAGGGAAAAGGGGGGCCGCCCCCCUCCCCUAGUCCUAUUCGGACUCCCCAUGGGGGGGCACCACCUCCUCAUGGCCUGUCCUGUCUCUUCCCUAAGGCCCAUGUUGGCCCAUUACUUCCCCGAGGGGUUCCGGUAACUCCUCCCACACUCCGUUUUUACCCGGUACCUCUCGGAAGAUGUCUCAACCAUUUCGAGACUCCUCGUCAUGUUCGUGAUCUCAUCCGGGACUCCGAACAAACUUCGGUCAUCAAAUCACAUAACUCAUAAUACAAAUCGUCAUCGAACGUUAAGCGUGCGGACCCUACGGGUUCGAGAACUAUGAAGACAUGACCGAGACACAUCUCCGGUCAAUAACCAACAGCGGAACCUGGAUGCUCAUAUUGGCUCCUACAUAUUCUACGAAUACUAAGAAGACUAGGCCCGUAAGGGUUCGAUUUACCUAGGUUUUUUGGAAUUUUUUUCACGGUAGCUGUAAAAAUUACGCGUGUGACGGAAGUGCUUCAUUCCCUUCAUUUGCCACCUUUGCUAUCCCCACUGUGUGGACUUGACACAUGUGACCCAUGGUAGAACCUUCGAUCAUAUCUCUUUUUUCAUCUUGGGCCUGUAGCGUUUUUCACGUGUGUUUUCUUAAGCGGUUUGCAUUUUGACUGGGCCUUCUAGGCUGUACAUGUCCUGCGCUGCGAUUUUGUAGAAUUUUUCUUGUCUCUCUCGAAGCCUCGAGUCCAAUCCUGUGACACCGCUACGCCGCCCUUUCCCGAUAUAAAUGGGCAUCAGGCUGACUCUUGCCUCAUCUCUCGGUUCCCCCUCUCGCCGCAUCCCCACCCCCUUCUCUUCUUUGUGGAUGCGCCCGCCCAGGCCGCCGGUGACCCUCACCAUCAAAGCCCUCCCCCACGUCAUCGUCGGAGGGAGUUGUCGCUUUGGCUAGGCUAGGGUCGUUGCCGAGGUGUGGAGGCGCCCCAAUUCCCCAUCUCUCCGCCUCAGUGAUGGAGAGGUGUGAGAUGGAUGUGGGGAGGAGCGGGCAUGGUGCAGUGGCUGAAGGAGGCGUUGGCGUGGUGGCAGCGUCGGUAGCGGUUGGAGGCGACCACGGGCAUCCAGUCGUCACGGCAGGGCCGCAGGGGGCGAUGUGGCUGCUCGAGGUCCGGUUCAUCUUGGAUGUCACGGAGGUAACCCAAGUUGUGAAAGUAUAGAAUAACGACGAGACAAUGCAUCAGCAGUAACAUUUUCUUUACCCUUCUUGUGUUUAAUGACAUAAGGGAAAGUCUCAAUGAACUCAACCCAUUUAGCAUGUCUACGGUUCAGUUUUGCUUGACAUUUAAUGUGUUUUAAAGAUUGAUGAUCAAAAUGUAUAACAAAUUCUUUGGGCCAUAAAUAAUGUUGCCAUGUUUCUAAGGUCUGAACAAGAGCAUAUAAUUCUUUAUCAUAAGUAGAAUAGUUCAAACUAGGCCCACUCAUUUUUUCAAAAAAGUAUGUAAUAGGUUUUCCAUCUUGUAAUAACACACCUCCUAAUCCAAUUCCACUAGCAUCACAUUCAAGCUCAAAAGUCUUAGUAAAAUCAGGAAGUUGGAGUAAAGGAGCAUGUGUCAACUUAUCUUUCAAUACCGUGAAGGCUUCUUCCUGUGCGGUACCCCAAACAAAAGGCACAUCCUUCUUUGCAAGCUCAUUGAGAGGAGCAGCAAUGGUGCUGAAAUCUCUCACAAAAUGCCUAUAGAAACCAGCGAGUCCAAGAAAACUCCUCACUUGUGUGACCAUUUUGGGCUGCGGCCAACUCUCAAUAGCUUUAAUCUUGGCUUUAUCAACUUCAAUUCCCUGUGGAGUAACAACAUAGCCAAGAAAAGAUACUCGAUCGGUGCAAAAGGUGCACUUCCCAAGGUUACCAAACAAAUGUGCAUCACGUAAAGCAAAAAAAAGCACGUAAAUGCUCCAAAUAUUUCUCCAAAGAUCUGCUAUAAAUCAGUAUAUCAUCAAAAUAGACUACCACAAAUCGUCCAAUGAAAGCACAUAAAACUUCGUUCAUUAAUCUCAUGAAAGUACUAGGUGCAUUAGUUAACCCAAAAGGCAUGACUAACCACUCAUAUAAUCCAAACUUAGUUUUAAAUGUUGUUUUCCAUUCAUCCUCCAAUUUCAUACAAAUUUGAUGGUAUCCACUAUGCAAAUCAACUUUGGAGAAUAUUAUAGAGCCACUCAACUCAUCAAGCAUAUCAUCUAGCCUAGGAAUAGGGUGACGAUAACGAAUAGUAACAUUAUUAAUACAAUCAACACACAUACGCGAUGUACCAUCCUUUUUCGGCACUAGAAUAAUAGGAACAACACAAGGUGAUGCGGAGCAUCCCUCGACCAUCACCAUGGAUGUCACACCACCACCGCAAGCACGGAGACAACCAAUGAUGAGAGUUUGCGCACUCGCCGUCGAAACCGAGGUUAACUCUUUCCUUUUCAAGUUUCUUUCGGAUUCACACGAGAGUCGGAUUCUACCUCAAACAGAAACUCUAUGCACUCUUAGGUACCAAGAAGAAGACCGUGAAGAGGCGAGGACGGAGACGCAAGCACCUAUGGAGGAGGAGACGGAAGAAGGACGCUCGAGACGCAAAGCAAAGGAGGCGCCGGACUACCCCGGGUGCCCGGCCACCUCCUAUAGCCGACUGGGAGAGCCCCUGGCCGCCCCGGGUGCCCGGCCCCCUGCCUGGGCGCUGCCCCGCCACCCACGGGUGCCCUGCUUCCUCCUGGGCUCGGUCCCAGCCCGCACAGGGUGCCCGGGCCAUCAACCCCCGGGUGCCCGCCCCCCUACAGCCACCCCUCGGGCGGUGGCCCUGACCGGUCCGGGUGCCCGGCCAGUUUCACCCCGGGUGCCCGGACCCUUCCGCGUGCCUGCGCGCACUUUUGGGUUUGGACCCUUGUAUCCCUCUCUCUGUCACAAUUCGUCCCUAGACUAUAUAAACACCUCCCCUAGCUCAUUAGAAAGAGAGAAAAGUAUAUGAGAGACAUUAGUGAGCUUUGCUCCUUGUACCUCCUCUUCUCAGAGAGAGACCUCUCCCAUGGAGAUCAAGAGCUCCUAUGGAGAAGAUCCCUAGUGGAUUCAAGCCCCAUCUAGGGAAAGAUCCCCAUCAUAGGAUUAUCAAGACCUCUCUCCUCAUAGGAUUGGGGUGAACUAGUUACUUUGUAUCUUUUCUUUGUUGUCCUUGAAUCAUUGUGACCUCUUGUGUGUUCUUGGAUCUAGAAUAUGUGUGAUUGGAUCUAGUCAAUUUGAGUGUUUCCCCUCUCUUGUGUUCUUCGUGUUCUUGGGGAUUUCCCUUCCAAUUCGUGAAAGAUCUCCCUCCAGGGUUCCACCGUACAACAUCUUGGUAUCAUGAACCAUGGUUUCUCACAAAAUUGGAGCCCCCUUCUUGUUCUCUGGCCUAAUUUGUUGUGUUCUUCCCCAAUUUCGAAAAUUCCCCACCAAAAAUAACCCCAAUUUUUUUGUGAUUUAUUGGUUUGAUGAGGUUUUGUUGGAUUUGAUCCAUGGAUUUGCUUGGUUUCAAGUGGAUCUAGCCUCCCCCCAUCCAUCUCCACCUUUCCCUCCACGAAAUCCACCAAUUUCUCCCAUUUUGCCACAACUUUCCGCCAAAUCCGACACCCCCGGGCACCCAGAUCUCACACCCCGGGGACCCGGACCCCCGACCAUCCCCGCUGACCACCCUGGGUGCCCGCACCCGUUACCCCCGGGCACCCGGACCCCUGGGCCACUUCUUCCACCCAACCCUGCUGACCACCCCGGGUGCCCGCACCUCCAACCCCCGGGCACCCGCACCCCCCGAAUCAGCCCACCAACAAAAACCGUUUCGGCCAUAACUUUCGCUCCCGGAGUCCGAUUUGAUGUUCUUUAGCUCGUUGAGUAGCUAUUGAAAUCCCCCUUCCAUAUACAUAGGUUCCAACACCAUUUUACUCCAUCAAAAUUUUGGCAUUUUUGUAUCUUUGCAUAGGCCAUCCACCAUAUCAUCCGCCAAACCACCAUAGCUUUCCGCACCUAACCCAUUUUUGCUCCAUAUAGCAUUUGUGGUUGCUUGAGUGGUGACUUGAGUCUCCUAAGGUGUUUCGGCUAAUUAGGGACGGUAGCUUCAUCAUCAACCACCACCACCACUUCCGCAUUGCUAACUCCGGAACCACCUACACAUUCCGCUACCACCAUUUGACAUUUUCCUUUGAGAUUUUGAGUUUGCGGUUUUUCCAUUUCCUAGGGUGUUUCGGCUAACUAGGAACGGUUUGACUUCAACAACACUGUCGCUCACCUUCAACAAGGACUCGACAUCGAGCACUUCACCAUUUUCACACCCUAACCGUAAGCAAGAACGACAACCUCUAUAUCAUCUUGGUAUCAUGGUAUCCCAUCAUUGUACAUUCUUGCCAUUACAUUGUUAACCCCUUAGCCCAUUUUGCGUCACUUGCCUAUCGAGACUAGCCAAUGAGUAUCGCCGGCAACGUUACUUGUGCACAUUAGUGAUCUGUACCUUCAAUUGCAUACAUACCAUAUAAUAUUGGUAUCUUCUUGGUAUCUUAUCAUCUCUUGUGUCACAAGAUUGUUCUCGCAUAUACAGAAUUGCUAUCUUGGUUUGUGAAUUUUGCAUAGUGGCCAUAUAAAAAAAGAAUAAGCUUUUAAGCAAAAAGGAAAAGAGAGCCAAGAGCUUGUGAGCGAGAGCCAUAGCAUCAUACCACAUUGCACAUAAGAUUGUCAUAUCCGAUCAUCUUGGAUCAUCUUGAGAAGAACACCGGGAACAUCAUACAUAUAUAACAUACUUGGAUAGAAAGUUGAUAUAUUUUGCAUCUUAUAGGUUGUGUACAAGUGUCGUAUCCGCCUAUUGAGCAAUCGUGCUAGUGUCUCUCUUGAGUUGUGCAACACAAGCAUUUUCCGUGGAUUCCACAUUUUGUGCUCAUUCCUUGGUUGCACGACCCCAUUUAUCUAUCCAUGUGUUUGUUUCCGUGUGCCACCCUUUGCUAUUUGUCUACUUGUUUCACUUGCGAAAUUGUGAAUCUUUUCCAACAUUAUUGACUCUUGCUAACAUUUUGCAUAAAUUUUUUGUGCCUCUAUCUGUCGGUGGGAACGACACCUAUGGGAUCACAAGAAUCCCUACUACGGUUAGCGGGGCACGGGGUCGUGAGAAGAGCGGAUCAAACAGAUAGCACACGGUUCGUUUAUCUAGGUUUGAGCCGCGAGGAUGCGUAAAACCCUACUCCUGCUUUGGUGGAUUGUAUAUCUGUGUUCUUGAGCUAGCUAUGGGGCGUGAGGAGCUCCAAAAAGCCGAAUCCUUCUCCUGGUCGCCUCGGGCUCCUUUUAUAGAAAAAGGGGUCGCCACAGUGGCACACAGGAGGUGGAAAGGAUACAGUGAUGUGAGGUUAUCCCUCGCAUUACAUGACAAGGCGCAUUUAAUGCGUCUUGCUUAGGUGUCCUUGCUUUAUCGGGGAUGGGGGCGAAGCCUAUCCCGUCCGUCGCCGCUCCUCCUCGCGUCGACACGCACCCUGGCCAGCGAUGCCGGUGGUGCCAUGUAGGCAGGCAGGCAGCUGAGGUGGCGCGGUGGUGGUGUCUUCAAGAAGAUUUGCAUGCCGCCACACAGGUGCCUGCCCAGUUGGUUGGGUCGGCAGCUGCACGCGAACGGCGGUGGAGACUUGGUUGGCGUGGGCCUGAUGGUGGUCUUGCGGGUGUACUCGGCAAGGGCCUUGCUGGGCCCGGCAAGGGUCUUGCCGAGGCGCCUGCUGUCAUCCCCGGCAAGGCGCUUGCCGGGGGCCUUAUGGUCUUCCUUGGUUGGGAUCCCGCCAAGGGUCGUCAUCUUCUAUAGUGCGUAUCUUAUCUUGAAUGUCUUCACAUAGAUCUGCAUGCCACCAUGGGGAUGUGUCCCGAAUCCUUGCCCCAUGGGGGCAGUGGACUCAAGGGUGAUCUGCUCCGUAGGUGUGGGGCGAGUUGCCGCGGCAAGGGUCUUGCCGAGGUUGCUAAAACUGUCUCCCAGCAAGGAUCUUGCGGGGGGAGUCUGCUUCGUCCCCUUUGCUCUUCGUGGUCUUGGCCUUGGCGUUGCUCCAGUUCUCUUGAGCUUCGGUCUUUCCCUGGCUCACCUCCCUUGCCUUGCUUGGUGUGGUGGUGCCCGUGGCUCAGACUGCCCGUGCACAGUUAUAGGGGUACAAAAAGUGUACCCCUCUUUUUGUACACCGACAGGAGCCCCCGGGCCUGGGCCACACAUAAGCGCAACGCGUUGUUGGGCUAGGCCCAAAAACGGUGCGUGGGAAGGCGGGGCAGUUUUUACCACGAUAAUAUUCUUCGCACGCUGCGCUUCCCACGACUCCCGCGGGUGGCGCGGCGUGGGGAGGCGUGUGUGACGUGGGCGGCAUGCGUGGGGUUGGUCUCAGCACGCAUGCGUCAUGUCACAGUUAAUGUGAAAGGAGGCGGCCCGCGUUUUUCCCCAUAAGAAGGAAUAACCGUGGGCGCGCUGCUCACUUUCUCCUCUUUCCUCGUGCCUUCUCCAAUCUCAGAGCCGCCGUUUCCUCUCUUCCUUCCUUCCUUCCUAAGCUUCCGUCGUCGCCUACCGUCGUUGCUUCGCCAUCCCCCUCCCUCAGUCCUCCAACUUUCUUAGCCGCCAUGGCGCCCAAAUCCGCCAAGGGCAAGGGGGUGGCUAAGGGCGCCGGGACUGUUAAGCCGCCGGAGAGUGCGCUAUCGGGGGACCGGACGAAAUCCGCCUUCUUCUUCCCCUCGACGGUUGAUGUUCGUGAGCUCCGGGCCUCCUUCAGGCCUCUAUGGGGAGUGAAGAUGGGGGGAGAGAAUUCAGGACAUCUGGCGACGCGCGUCAUUCCUGCCGCUUGCGCCGAUCCUGCCCCAAAUCGGUAUCCCUUUUUCAUCGAUUACCUUUCUUGCGGGUUAUGCCCCCCUUUUCCGAUUUCUUCUGUGACAUUAUGCACACCUUCGGUUUUCGCCUCUUGGAUUUUACUCCGAAUGCGGUGGCGUGCAUGGCUUUCUUCGCGCAUCUUUGCGAAGGCUUUGCCGGGGUGCAGCCGAACACGACACUCUUCCACCAUUAUUUCUCCCCUCGGAUCCAACCGGGAGGUGCCGUCUCUGGUUGUGUCACCUGGAUCCCAAGAUCCAAGGGGGCGUACCCGGACAGUGCCGUGAAGGAGAGGUGGGAGGAAUGGCGUGGCCGGUGGUGCUGGAUUGAAGAUGAAGACCCGCUGGAAUUCUGCAAGGUCCGCUGAGUGCCACCGGUCUGCGGCAGCGAUUGGAGCGAUGUUGACGCCGCCGACGGGAGGCUCACUGUCUCUACCACCAGGAUUCUCUGGCUGACCCGGGCUGGACUCACCCUUGAAAUGAUCGGGGCGGACUUCAUUCGCCGCCGGAUCGCCCCGUUGCAUAACAAGGGGAGGCCAGCCUGGCUCUUUACGAAUCCGGCUGACAUCAUGCGACUCCGCCCUGGUCUCGACCAUAAUUUCACGGUGAUGGCGCAUGUCCACUUCUGCCAGUGGCUUUUUCAGCUUGAUGUGGGUCGUGAUGGCGAGGUCGAACGGACCGGCAAGGUCGCGAGGGCUGCCGCAAAGGUCGGCAAGGCCAUCAAGGGGCCGUUUUUCAAGUUGCCAGUGGGGGUGGUCCCGUUGUGCAAUAAUUCACGUCGGUCCGAGAUCAUCGCUAUGAUGCCGGACUGUAACACGCACGACCCUGUCCCGAGCUGGAAGGAGCCGAAGGAUGCUGAUGUGCAGCAAUUCUUCGACACCUUGAUCGAGGUAUAUGUCAAUGCUGACGCCGAGCGGUGGCUUGUCAUGGACACAACCCAGGCAGAGCUGGACUACAUCGCCACUAGGGCGAGGGAGGCACAGCUUGCCAUGGAGGCCGGCAGCACUGGGGGUGUGGAGGACAAGGCCGCAACGGCUGCGGAGGAAGAGGAGCUCACCCGGUGGGCGGCGGCCUCCAGGGAGGUUAGCAGCACCGACACGGGAGCUCUGCUUGUCGAAGAUGCGGCCAACGAGUCGUCGGGGGAGGAGGAUGUGGCGGCGGGCUCAACGCCAGCCAGGGGAAGAGGGCGAGUCCUGUGGCGGUCUGGCUCCGGCGAGCCGGUCCGGCCUGGCAGGGCCACGCGGCCUCAAUUGACCCUGGAGGGGUCCGGGCGUCACACGAGGGCCACAACAGCGAAGAGGCUGACGAAGGCCGCUGAGAAGAAGAAGGCAACAGUCCCUUCCUCAUCUGGGCGUGCACAAACUCCGCCUUCUUCGCCUCCUCUGGCAGAUGUCGACUCGGAUGUUGACGCGGAGGUCCCUUUUGAUCUUGGGCCUCUCAGCCCGAAGAGGAAAAGGAAAGUGGUGGAAGAAGAGGAGAUGGAUGACGAGUAAGUACUCCGUUUCUUACUGCCAUUUCCAUUUCCCCAAAUUAAGUCACUCAUGUUGAUCCGUUUUUGCUUUUGCAGGGAUGCAGAGACGUUGGCCCAGAGGGUGAAGAGGGCGAAGGCCUCGGCGAGCAGUCAGCCCUCGGCUGGGGCUUCAAAGACACCACUGGUGUUGUUGAGCAGCCCGGACAGCAGCCCCCGGCAUAGCCCCCAGCGUAAGUUCGUUACCCUCCUCUUAUUUGACAUGUGGUAGGCGUUCGAUGCUAUGGUGUUGACCUUAUCGUGUUUGUAGGAGGGGAGCAGCAGCAGGAGGAGCCGCGGAGGGCUACCCCCAACACACCACCCCCAUCGACUACGCCGCCGCGAGGGGCGUCCCCGGCAAGGGCAUCAAGCACGGAGCCCACACCCAUGGAGGAACAGGGGAACUUGGGCGCUGGUGACUCUGCCACGGCGCCAAAUGCUGGCGGGGAGGGGACUUCUGCUUCACAGCCUGGCACUGGUGAGUCUCCUGUCCUCCGUCUCUGUUUUUCCCUUAUUCUUUUUCUUGGCUUCAUUGCUCCCAUUACUGCCCAGGCCCUCCUUCAACAGAUAUGGAGGGCGUGGACACUGUUGUUGGGAAUAUUGCUGAGGAGGCCGCGGCGGAGGCCGACAGGAUUGCCGCCGAGGAGGCCGCCAAGGAUGCUGACGAGGUCGCCGCCGAUGAGGCUGCCAAGGAUGUCGCUGAGGAGACCGCUGCGGGGGCCGCCAAGGCGACUGGCGAGGCUUCUGCCGAGGGUGCCAGCGGUGGGCCUGCCGGGGAAGCCGGCAAGGCCUCUGCCAAGGAAGAGGUGGUUGAUGAUCAGCCUCCCUCCUCCUCAACCUCGGGCCCCGGCAGAUAUCUGAAGGUGGGCGACGAUCUUUUCGUCCAUCUUCCAGGGGCGUCAAGUUCCCGAGCGCCCACCGAAGGGGAAGUCUUUGACGGCGAGGUGCUUGCCGCCACCGGGCUCGAGGUGGUCAAUGAGCCGGGCGUUGGCGGCGAUGGUUCUCCACAAGAGCAGCUUUUCCGUGCCAUGGGGGCCAAUUUCUGGAAGCUCCAAGUGCUCUACCGUGCUCGCCUAGACAAGGUCAAGUCCAGGAUGGCAACGGUGGACAAGGCGGAGGUGGACUUCAAGGCGCGCGUUGCUGAGAUGCAGACCUGGUUUCACCAGACUCGCGAGGAGCAGAGGGCCUUUCAGGAGGAAUUGGCCAAGCGCGAUGUAGAGCUCACCAUGAAGAUGGCUGACAUCAAGAAGGCCCAGGAAAAGGCAGCGAACUUGGCUGCCGCGGCCGAGGCCGCCCGGAACCAGCAUCAAGCCGCAUUGGAUUCCCAGGAAGAGGACCUCUCCGUGCGUGAAGCGAAGCUUGCCGCAACGCUCCGCGGCAAGGAUGAGGAGCUCGAGGCCCUUGUCGUGCGACGGACUCGCGAGCUGGAGCAGAGGCACAAAGAGGCACUCGAUGCCCAAGCUCUGGCCCAUGCCGGCAAGGUGAAGGAGUUGGAGCUAGAGCGGGACGAGCUGAAGGAGCAGGCCCUCAAGCUGUCCAACGAGAAGAGCACGCUCAACAGCGCCUUGGUAGAGGCGCAAGGAGCGGUCAUCAGCAGGGCUGGGGAGCUCUCCGAAGCGCAAAACUCCAUCAGAGAUCUCAAGCUGAAGCUGGAGAAUCUCGAGAAGAUGUUGUCGGAGAGCACGGCUUGGGAGGAGACCUUGACCAGGAGCCUGGAGGAGGAGAAGCAGCUGCGGGCGAACGAGGCCGCCUCCCACCAGGAAUAUGUGGCGGGCGAGAACAGAUGGAUCAGCCGUCUAGAGGACGUCCCCGGCAGGGUCACCUCGCAGUUGGCCACCAUGGGGAUGCCAAACGUGAGGUAUGCCCCUGAGCGCAGCGGGACCGUCAACGCCAAGCUGACCCAGUUCUUCGAGGGCGUCCUCGGAGCCUUGGCUUAUCUCCACUCCAGCAGAGCGGCCACGUCGGCCGGGGAGGCCCGGCGACUUUGCCGGAGGGUCGUGACCAAGGUCCUCACCAAGAUGGCAUACUGGAAUCCCGACCUUGACUUCGAAGGCGCGAUGGAUAGCUUGCUGGAUGGUACUGACCUCACGGUGCUCAAGGAGCGCAUCAAGCCCAUCAUCGACUGCAUCGACGAAAUCAAGAGGGUGGAAGGCCAGCGCCGGGAUUAGGCAUCCCGUUCUUCUUCGCCGCUGCAGGUUCCCGGCCAAGACAAAUUUUAUCUUUAGUUAGAACCGCAGCAAUGAUGUGAUGUAACAUAACUUUGAAGUACUUUUGGGAUUAUGCAUGCUAUUUCCCUGUUUGUUGCCUCUUUGUACGUCCACCCUACGCUAGCUGGGUAGGCUUGCCGACACGGAAACCCAGGGCGGCGUUUUGGGGACGGGUCCCCAUUGGCCUGCCGGGCGAACGUGUUGUCGGGUGAGCCACCUUACCACCCUUAACGCAGCCGCUCGAACUGUCGAGUUUGACUCGAGUCAGAGUCGAGAGCCUUGCCAAUUGCGGAAGGCUACCCUACCGUUUCCAACGCAGCCAUUUGAACUGUUGAGCGGACUCGAAACAGAACAAAGGCAUUGCCAAUCUGGGAGGGCCCCAUUUUCGUAUAGGUUUCUUUUUGUACAAAGAACGAUAGCUCCGAGGAUAAUAACUUUAUAUAAUAGAAUGGAAAUAUCCGGGGUUUAAUGUGACUUAGCUCCUGUUUGUAGUCGCUCGAGUGCUGAUCUUCCGGCCUCCUUCCUUCUCCAAGAGCCACGCAGACGAAGGAGUGCUGGGCUAAUUGCUAGAGCCGAUUCUCACAACUGUGCCCCAUACCUGGCGCGCCAAAGAUGUCGGUGGGAACGACACCUAUGGGAUCACAAGAAUCCCUACUACGGUUAGCGGGGUGCGGGAUCGUGAGAAGAGCGGAUCAAACAAAUAGCACACGGUUCGUUUAUCUAGGUUCGGGCCGCGAGGAUGCGUAAAACCCUACUCCUGCUUUGGUGGAUUGUAUAUCUGUGUUCUUGAGCUAGCUAUGGGGCGUGAGGAGCUCCAAAAAGCCGAAUCCCUCUCCUGGCAGCCUCGGGCCUCCUUUUAUAGAAAAGGGGUCGCCACAGUGGCACACAGGAGGUGGAAAGGAUACAGUGAUGCGAGGUUAUCCCUCGCAUUACAUGACAAGGCGCAUUUAAUGCGUCUUGCUUAGGUGUCCUUGCUUUAUCGGGGACGGGGGCGAAGCCUGUCCCGUCCGUUGCUGCUCCUCCUCGCGUCGACACGCGCCCUGGCCAGCGAUGCCCGCGGUGCCAUGUAGGCAGGCAGGCAGCUGAGGUGGCGCAGUGGUGGUGUCUUCACGAAGAUUUGCAUGCCGCCACGCAGGUGCCUGCCUAGUUGGUUGGGUCGGCAGCUGUACGCGAACGGUGGCGGAGACUUGGUUGGCGUGGGCCUGAUGGUGGUCCUGCGGGUGUCCUCUGCAAUGGCCUUGCCGGGGCCCCGACAAGGGUCUUGCCGAGGCGCCUGCUGUCAUCCCCGGCAAGGCGUUUGCCGGGGGCCUUGUGGUCUUCCUUGGUUGGGAUCCCGCCAAGGGUCGUCAUCUUCUAUAGUGCGUAUCUUAUCUUGAAUGUCUUCACAAAGAUCUGCAUGCCACCAUGGGGAUGUCUCCCGAAUCCUUGCCCCAUGGGGGCAGUGAACUCAAGGGUGAUUUGCUCCGUAGGUGUGGGGUGAGUUGCCGCGGCAAGGGUCUUGCCAGGGUUGCUAAAACUGUCUCCCGGCAAGGAUCUUGCUGGGGGAGUCCGCUUCGUCCCCUUUGCUCUUCGUGGUCUUGGCCUUGGCAUUGCUCCAGUUCUCUUGAGCUCCGGUCUUUCCCUGGCUCACCUCCCUUGCCUUGCUUGGUGUGGUGGUGCCCGUGGCUUAGACUGCCCGUGCAUAGUUAUAGGGGUACAAAAAGUGUACCCCUCUUUUUGUACACCGACACUAUCCUCACCGAGCUCCACCAUAAGCCUUACUUGUGCUGGUGUGAGAACUGACAAGAUCCGGUACCAAUUGUGCUAUUUCCUUGAUACAUUAUUGAGUGAUCAUUGAUCCAUCUUCAACAUUUGAAAGGUACAUUUGGUCUAGUUCUUUCCUUUCUUCCACUUACAUGUGCUCGAGUCUUGUGAUGGAUAGGCAAGGCAUUUCAUUUCUGGUCUUCCACGACAACGACGGCGCGAACAACUGCAGCACCAAAACGUCCAUCUUUGGACUACAACAAGCAAUGUGAGGCAUUGAGUGACUCACCGUCGACAUUCACCAAAGUGAAGCAUGGACAAGGGACUACAUCGACACCAAAUCGGAUGCACAAUUGGAUGACAUCCGACACGUGUGGGCCAACUACAAGUCUUCUUCCUCUUCGUCAUCUUCAAGGCAGAGACGCUCCAGUCGCAAGUCUUCGGAAUGGCCACACGAUGAGAGUACCAUGCGGCACCGUCAUCAUCUUCGAGACGACCGCCGAGACGACUGCAAGCCCAAGGUGUAUGGCAACGAAGAGCGCCAUCGACUACAACAACACCGUCACCACCGAGAGGAAGCUACGGCUACUACCACAACUUCGGCAUCUUCGCCAAGUGUUAUCAAGGCAUCUUUGCCUUUGGACGUACGACAUCUUCGCCUACCUCCGACGAGUACGCCUACAUCAGCCUUCAUCCACGACGAUGGUGACGAGAUGAUCGAGCAUGGAAUUUUCCCUUUGGUCACGGAGGAGAGUGAUGAGGUGACAUCUUCGGCCUUCAUCCACGGCGACGACGACGACAUGGUUGAGAAUGGGAUCUUCCCUUCGACCACGGUGACGUAUGAUGACUUGAGUGACUUUUGCCACCAUAUUGAGAGUGAGAGUGACUUCACCACUAGCCCCAUAUAUGAUGAGCUGCCCCAAUUCCCAUGUGAGGAGAGCCACCACCACCACCGCUUGAGUGAUUUGAGUGACUCCACCAUAUGUGACAUUGAAUGCACCUACCUUGAGAGAGUGAGUGAACCACCACCACAUAGAGAGAGUGAGGUAGUUGAUAGGGCAUGUGUGGCCAUUUCAAUUUCUAAUAACUUAACCUCUACCUCUAUUGUGUCUUCUCAUUUGGGGCUAGGUCCCAUAUAUGAUGACGCGCCGAUUCGCGACGACUUCGUCCUUCCUUUGGACAAGACGAUGGCCAUGGUGGAAUAUGAUGCACCCCCCACAUGGUUCCAUCACGAUGAAGAUGACCACCAUUUGGUCUUUGCCACCUCACCUACACCACAUGAACGGAUUGAGAAUGGUAAAAUAGGUGAAGGUGAUGCUCUAGUUCCACUUGUGGACAUUCUUGACAUUGAUUGCUUGCAUGAUGUUGAUCCAGCUAUUACCAUGCUUCGUGCUAGUGUGACUUCCCCAUGCGAUGAUUUACCCAUUUAUGAUGAGUUUGAUGAUUGCCAUGUGGAGUUUAUUAGUUGUGAUGCCAUGUUACAUAGGAUUUCUUGUGAUAAUUCUCUCGGUCACAUCAUGUUUGACAAUCCGCUUGACUUGUCAUAUGCUAUGCAUGAGAUCAACCAUAUGUCAUAUUUGCAAUCUCUUCAUAGUGACUAUGCAUAUGCCAUUAAAAUUAACCCAAUUUGCACAUAUGGCAUAGAUGACAAGCCAAUGGUUAUUGGCAUUUGUUUUUCUUGUGAUGAUAUUGAUAUGCUUCCUUUGCAUCAUUUAUCUCAUAUGCCAUGCCAUGACCACCUAGAUUCGAAUAUGCAUUGUUUUGGAUGUUGUCCAUUUUCUCCAUAUGAUGUGUCCAACAUUUCUCAUGAGGAGACCCCCACAGUUUCCUCAUACAUAUUAGGAAUUUUUGAUGCAUUCCAUACUUUGCAUGAUUCCCAUGAUUGCGUGCACCAUAUGCAUUCCAUGAAUAACAAUGCUCUAAAUAUUUCUUACGAUACAUUAAAAAAUUUGAGUCUCCAUUAUACUAUACGUAACAACAAACCUCUCAUGAUGGAUGACAUGUUUCUAUAUCACACAUCUCAUUUAUUUGAGCAUUGGAUAUUUCGUGCUAACUAACACAUGCACGUACGCAUCAUAAUGGAUGAUGUGUACAUCUAUCACGCGCACACAAUUUUUCCUUUGUAUUUGUUUUGUGUAGGUACCCAUGAAUACUUGUCAACCUUGAAAUCCCACGAGUUGACAAAACGAGCUCUAGAGAGCAAUGAUGACUUCGGAUCCCAUGGAUUGUCUUUCCCACCGCUCUCUUCACGCAAAGACUUCACGCAUUUCUUCUACAUGGCCCUCACUUGGCUAUGGGUUAUUGUCCAUUACAUAUUAUAUGCCCAUCUUGCCAUGUUCACUUUGCAUGACAUGCUUAUUCAUAUGCCUUUACCAUGCAUUUGUGACCCAUGCUUUGCAUUACACAUGAUGAUUGAUUCUACUACUUGUAUGUGUAUUUGCAAGCUUGGUGGAGACAUUGCUUUUUCUUGCCACGUUUCCUUUGUGAUCCAUUCCUAUGAUGAUACAUUGAUCUUGCUUUGUAAUCGUGCUUGUGGUAUGUCAUGUGCAUUGCCUAUGCCUAUUAUUUGCUCACACGAGAUGAUUGUCAUGAUUUCCUCUCGUAUGUUGCAUCUUCGCACUACUAGCUUACACGACUUGCUUCCUAUGAUUGCUUGCCUUGUCGCAUCACCGAUGAUUCAUACUUGUUCUUUUCAUGCGGUUGAUAGCCACUAUUGCCAUGCUAUAUUCACUACACCCCAUGCACGUUACGCUCGGAUUGUCGUGCACUUUAGACACUUCAUUUUUUUGGUGUUGUGAAUGCUUCAUAUGCAUACCAUAGACCAUUUAUUGAACGCCUUAUGCAUGAUUUCUAUGAGCUUGAGGUAGAUGCUUAUUUUCUUGUCACACAUAUUUGCAUCGCUACCUCACUUUUACAUGCUUGUUUCCAUGAUGUCCUUGAUUUUGCUCCAUUUAUGUGCUUACAUGACAUGUCACAAUCCCUUGUCACAUCAUAUGCUAUGCUAGAUGACGACACUUGUUUGGUGAAUCACCUCUUGAAUGCUUGGUUUUGCACUAACGCUAACCACAUUUGUUUUUCCAAGUGUUUGUUGUACUUUCUCCUUUUGAAGGAAACACAAGACGGCGCGACAUUGGAGAAUGCCCAUUUCGAGCUUGAAGAUGUUGAGUACUUGGUGAUUGUCCACUUCUACACGGCGACGCCCUCUCUUUCCCAUGGUGAUGAAGAUCAUGAUCCAUGGACGGAUGUCCACCAAGGGGGGGGGGGAGAUGAUGCGGAGCAUCCCUCGACCAUCACCAUGGACGUCACACCACCACCACAAGCACGGAGAGUACCUAUGACGAGAGUUUGCGCACUCACCAUCGAAACCGAGGUUAACUCUUUCCUCUUCAAGUUUCUUUCGGAUUCACACGAGAGUCAGAUUCUACCUCAAACGGAAACUCAAUGCACUCUUAGGUACCAAGAAGAAGACCGUGGCGAGGAUGGAGACGCAAGCACCUAUGGAGGAGGAGACAGAAGAAGGACGCUUGAGACGCAAAGCAAAGGAGGCACCGGACUACCUCGGGUGCCCGGCCACCAGCAGCCCGGGUGCCUGGCCACCUCCUACAGCCAGUUGGGAGAGCCCCUAGCCGCCACGGGUGCCCGGCCCCCUGCCUGGGCGCUGCCCCCGCCACCCCGGGGUGCGCGGCCUCCUCCUGGGCUUGGCCCCAGCCUGCACCGGGUGCCGGGCCAUCAACCCCCGGGUGCCCGGCCCCCUACAGCCACCCCUCGAGCGGUGGCCCUGACCGGUCCGGGUGCGCGAACCCCUCCACGUGCCAGCAUGCACUUUUGGGUUUUGGACCCUUGUAUCCCCCUGUCUCUCACAAUUCGUCCCUAGACUAUAUAAACACCUCCCCUAGUUCAUUAGAAGGAGAGAAAAGUAUAUGAGAGACAUUAGUGAGCUUUGCUCCUUGUACCUCCUCUUGUGUGAGAGAGACCUCUCCCAUGGAGAUAAAUACCUCCUAUGGAGAAGAUCCCUAGUGGAUUCAAGCCCCCCAUCUAGGGAAAGAUCCCCAUCAUAGGAUCAUCAAGACCUCUCUCCUCAUAGGAUUGGGACGAAGUAGUUACCUUGUAUCUUUUCUUUGUUGUCCUUGAAUCAUUGUGACCUCUUGUGUGUUCUUGGAUCUAGCAUAUGUGUGAUUGGAUCUAGUCAAUUUGAGUGUUUCCCCUCUCUUGUGUUCUUCGUUUUCUUCGUGUUUUUGGGGAUUUCCCCUCCAAUUCGUGAAAGAUCUCCCUCUAGGGUUCCACCAUACAACACAAGGACUAAGGGAUUCGCGUAUAUAACCUUUGUCGAGCAGCUCCUGGACUUGACGCAUAAUCUCCUUCGUCUCCUUUGGAUUGGUACGGUAUGGUGCACGGUUGGGUAGCGAUGCACCGAGAAUUAAGUCAAUCCCUCUAAUAGGAGGUAAUCCUGGUUGCACGUCUUGUGGAAAGACGUCAGCGAACUCCUGCAAAAUGUUAGUAAUAGCAGGAGGCAAAGAGGAAGGCACGUCCUCAAAUGAAAAUAAUGCCUCUUUGCACACAAAUGCAUAGCAAACAGAUUUGCUAAAAUCUAGCUCAUCAAUAUCAGACUUGGUGGCGAGUAAACAUGCACUUUUCAAUUUAAUUUCAGAAGCAACACUAGAUGGUUUAUUAUUAGGCUUCAUUUGUUGCUCAAAUUCUUUUGCCACAAUCUGAUUUUCACUCUUAUUGUUCUCCUGUUUUGCUUUAUUAGCUCUAUUAAUAUCAUCUUUCAAAAUGGAAUCAGGAGACAUGGGAAGCAAAGUAAUAUGUUUAUCCUUAUGAACAAGAGUAUGUUGAUUGUUUCUACCAUGGUGUACAGAAUUUUUAUCAAAUUGCCAUGGUCUACCAAGUAAUAAGGAACACGCUUGCAUGGGUACCACAUCACAAUCAACAUAAGCAGCAUAUGUAGAGAUACUAAAAUGCACACGAACAGUACGUGUUACCUUAACCUUGCCGUUGUUGUUGAACCAGUGGAUGUAGUAAGGAUGUGGAUGUGGUCUUGUAGUGCGAGAUAGCUUCUCCACCAUCUCCAUGCUAAGCAAGUUUUUACAACUCCCUCCAUCUGGAUGACGUGAACAAAACGUUCCUUCACAACUCCCUUUGUAUGGAACAAAUUAUGCCUCUGAUUUUGCUCAGCUUGUGUAACCUGCACACUCAAAACACUUUGAGCAACUAAACAUUCAUACAUGUCAGCAUUUUCAGCAGCCAUGUAUUGCGUCUCAUGAUCAAAAUCAUCUCCAUCGUGUUCUUCACUUGUAAUAAGAGUCAAAGUCUCCUCAUCAUAGUCACUCGUGACUCACACCCACCAUCCUCAGUAACAAUCAUCACACGCUUAGAUGGGCAUUCUUUCGCAUAAUGACCUCCACCCUUGCAACGACGACAAAUAAUAUCAUGUGUUUGCCUUGUUGAUGCCAUGGAUGAAGAAUAGCUCUGUGCAAGCCUAGAAGGUGUGCUCUUGGCAGAUAGUGGUGGUUGUGCCUGCUUUCUUGUAUCAUAGUUGAAGGUGGCAGCUGACGGAGGUGCCGGUGCAGCAGAACAUGUGGAAGUAAGGAACGACGCGGUGUCCAUGAUGAAGGUCGACCUGCAGAAAAGUUAGUACGCGCCAAUGCCUGUCGAUCCUGCACUUCACAUUCAGCUUUGCAAGCAAGAUGGAAUAAACAGUGAUAUUAUUAUAUUCCUUAUACUCUAGAAUGGUCUGAAUCUCUUUAUUUAAUCCACCCAUAAAACGUGCAAGCAUAGCUUCAUUAUCCUCAACAAUACCACAUAUAAUCAUGCCAGUUUGUAAUUCCUGAUAAUAUUCUUCUACAAAAAAAAUUCCUUGUCUUAAAUGCUGCAAUUUUUGAAGUAAUUCAUAUUGAUAAUAUGGUGGAACCCAGUGAGUACGCAUAGCAGUUUUGAAAGCAGCCCAAGUAGAUGGAAUAGGAUAUAAUCUACAAUGUUCAGACCACCAAACACAUGCAAAACUAGUGAAAGCACAAACAGCAGCAGGAACAUGUCUCUCCUCAGGAUAUUGUAAACAUGUUAAUUGUUGUUCAGUUUCUAACUCCCAAGUAAGAUAUAUAUCAGGAACAUAUCUACCCUCAAUUGGUGAAAUAUUCAACUUUAGUUUAGGAAGAUGGUCAUGACCUCGUACCUCUGGUGGUGAUGCAGCCCUACCAUUGUGAUGAUAUGCAUGAGGACGACCUGGUGGUGGUCGUGCUGGUGGUUGCACGUAGUUCCGAUUUUGAUCAACCUCAUCCUCGUAAUGGUCCUCCACCUCUACAGUAGCAGCAUGAGCUACAGAAGCAUCAACAGUAGGUACAGCGGCGCCAGAAGUUUGACCAGGCUCAAGGGGAACGUGCUGUGCUCGUCCCACUUAAUUUGGAAGGCGUUGUUGUUGUUGUUGUUGUUGUUGUUGUUGUUGUUGUUGUUGUUGUUGUUGUUGUUGUUGUUGUUGUUGUUGUUGUUGUUGUUGUUGUUAUUGUUGUUGUUGUUGUAGAGGUGCAACAGGUGCAGCGGGCGGUGGUUGUGGAAGACGCGCGAGUAAUUCAUUAAACUUGUUAUCGAGCUUUGUUUCGAAUGCCUUCUCAAUGCCAUCUAUCUUCUCCAUGGCCUCUUCAAAUCGGUUUAGCACAUCUUCCACCUGCCCACUCAUCAUUUGCUGAAACUUAUCAUGAAGCUCGUUGUUCGUCAAGUUCUCCCAGUCAAUCUGGCCUGCUUGUGAUCCUGCCAUGGUUAGCAGCAAUAGAAACACACAAGAAUAUGACCCUAUAGACUACUAAUUGUUGUUGGUGGUGGGUGUCACAAAUCCGUCAAGCAAAUCUCAAAUUCUUACCAGUUCUUACCUGUCGGCAUUCUGGGAACGGGGGUCCCCAGACUUGCCUGCUUGCGGCCUGCGGCGUGGCUCAAGUGGGGGCCCAGCGCGGCCCAUCUUCAUCAGCUCAAGCUCAGGACCCUCGCGAGGGGCCAAGCCUCGCGGGGCGGACGACAAGAGGCUUCCUCAGGAGCAGCCUCAUCAGGCAGGCUCGCGAGGAGGCAGAGAGAUCAAGGCAGGGGUACCUCGCGAGGAGCCCGUGACGCAAGCCAUGACGAUCGAGACCAGGCGGGCGCUAGGCGGGCGCCGGCCUACGCAGUGUCCUUGUUUCCCUUUCGGUGCAAAGGGGGCAAGCACAGGCCAAGGCAUCAAGCAAAUGUUACCAUUCCGGUGCAACGAGACCAAGAACAACAGAGCGGCAGGACGGAGGUCACCGUGGAGCCCAAGACGGCGUCAUCACUAGUGCUUUUGGCAGCCGAAGACCACCUUUGGUCAGGAUAACUUGUACUAGAUGUUCCCCUUCAAAAUGGCCAAUUGUUGGCACCCUUCCCGCUCAUUAUUUGGGGAGAGGCCCAGGGCCUCUAUAAAUAGAGCUAGUCACCACAGAGUAAGGAGGAUCUGACCAGAUCGGAUAGAGCCCUAGGAAAGAGAGAGAGAGAGAGAGAGAGAGAGAGGCGAUAGAACUCACCCAAGCAGUUGAUCGCACCAGCUCAAGAACACCUCUCGUGAGGCUGUUCUUCCCCGGUACUGUUCAUCAUCAGCCAUUGAGGCAAUCCACCACACCACACACUAGAGUAGGGUAUUACCACAAUGGUGGCCCGAACUAGUAUAAAUCUCGUGUCCCUUGUGUUGUUCCUCGUUUCCAGCUUAGAUCGCAUGAGGAGAUCGGACGUAGAUCGGUAGGGGAGAGAUCUCCACGCACACCCCAGUGUUCGAACCUCAAGGGUCUGCCGGAACCCGAAAUCCGACAUUACCCAGCAGCAGGCGGUGAUCGGCAACCAUUAUAGUCAAAACUCUCAAAGCUUGGAUAGAGUGAUUACCAGGGAGAGUCAAAUGCACGACGUAGAUGUAUGUGGAGCUAGGAAGGCUUAUAAUAUGGUAGCAAAAAGGGUCAGCAAUAAUCAAUUCAGAGAUGCAAAGUUGAAUAAACGCUUGACGACGGUAUUGUGCUGGUCCUAAGCUAGACCGUACUAGAGACGUGAACCUAGAACACGAAAAAAAUCACAGCGCGACACGUAAACAAGGGAAAAGCACACUCUGAAAAAAAUUUGUAUAAUUUUUUGCGCUCCUCUUCUUUUUGCGAAAAAUCACUAUAAUGGCGAGUGUCUCAAAACUCUUCCCAAGUCAAACUAACAGGAUAGGCAUGAAAUUGUUUUGACAACUUUUUUUUUCGAAAAUCAGGGCAACGACGAUGAAAAAGUGCGACAAAAAAUCACUAUGAUGGCGAGUGUCUCAAAAGACUCAGAAAAGCCUAAAAACAGGAUAGGGAAAAAACAUUUUCGACUGCUGAAAUUUUGGCCUAAAAACUGUCGGGGGUCUCCGAAACCUACUCAGGCAAGGAAACACAAUUCGGAAAAUAGAUGGAUCUCGAAAACAAACCUAAUAUGAAAAGAACUCGGAUUGGUGGUGGAUAUAUGAUGGUAAGAUAUGGCAGUGGUGGUGUUAUAUGGUAGCGGUGGUGGUAUAUGUAUAUGGAUUGGUGGUGGUAUAUGGAUACAGAUUGGUGAUGGUAUAUGGAUAUGGAUCGGUGGCGGAUAAGCGGUGGUGGUAGAUGGCAGGGGCGAUGAUGAUGGUGCGGCAGCGGCGUGACAACUUAUGACCAGAACUCGAAACUCUAAAAGACUAGACGCUAAGACCCGCAACUGGACACGAUGAUGCAACCGCAAAUUCAACAAAGCAAAAACCAUAAAAAGAUUACGCAAUGGCUCAAACUGGUUUGGAUAUGAUGACUAACCCUAAAUAUUUUUUUUCGCUUUUCCGUGGACUGUAGGUAUGAAGAACAGACUCGAUCUAAACUACGAAAAAUUGUAAAAUCUCACCGAGCAACCAGGAAAUAUGAUACCACUUGAUAGAGGCAAAGGUGUCCCAUCUUUCGAUGAGAUGGUGAAUAUCGUUUCGGAGGAGUAGACUUUCACGAUCUGACUACGAACGUGCGAGGACGUCACGCCUUAGCAAUCACUAAACCAAGUCCGAGAGGUUAUUGACCAUGCAGGACCACGAUCAACCUGACUACUAGGGUCUGUUUCCUGCGAGCAAACAAAGAACAAGUAAGAAACUGAGAUUGCAAUAUGGAUAUUGCAAAUAUAUGAGGAAAGUUUUAUUAAUGAAGGUGGGUUUCUGUGACGCAUUUUUCUGGUCGUUGAACACAAACGAAGUACACGAAGUUGCAGCUAUGGCGAACUUUUAAUCUAAACAAAACCCAAAGUCUAAACGAUGCCCUAAGGGCUGUAUAUUUGGAGGAAGAGGGGGGAAUUUCAUGGCCAUUGGAGGAGGGGUACGAAACCAACCCUAACUCUUGUUUCUCCACACAUACGGACUCUAAAAACAACCUAUACUUGACUAUUUCGAAAUUACAUGGGCCUGGCCCAAAAAUAAGGUGGCGCAGCACCUAUAAUAGCCUCUGGACUAAAUUUAUGAAGUGGCAUCUUGUAUAUUUCGUCCAAGGUUUCAUGCACUCAUUAUGGUGGCUUCAAAGUCCUGAAAUCAUCACUUGUAACUUCGUUCUUGUUCUCCUUGCGCAUGCCAUCAUCUCCAUGCUUGAUAUUGCUCCAAUGUCCAUCCCUCUUGUCCAAGCCAGGCCCUUCAUUUGUAAGCAAAACAAAUGUAUCCAAUUUAGGCAACAUCAUAUUCUCAUGAACAUUAGAAUCAUUACCAAGAAAUGAAAGUACCAGGUAAUUUAAUUGGCGUGCACGAGCUCUAGUAAUUGGUCCAGUAUGUAUAGUAGCAGGGACUGUGGAUGUAACAAUGGUAUUGAUGUCCUCAUCAUUUCCUCUUUUGCUUAAAAGCUUGUUUGGCUCUUUCUCAUGCAAAAGUUGAUGAACCAAGGUAGCAAUUGUGUAUAUGCUAUGACAACCUUGUGGCACAAGAGAUGAUAUCAAGAUAUGGAUACCGAUAUGAUAUGAUAUGAUAUAUGCAACGAGAUGAUGAUCACUAAUGUGCACAUGUGACGUUCUUGGCAAUACUCAAAGGCUAGUCUCCAUGGGUAAGGGAUGCAAAGACGAAGGCUAUGGAGUUAUCAAUUGCAAUGGCAAGGCAUAGACAAAGAUGCCAUCGAAGUUACCGUCCUUGCCUAUGGUUGAAAGUGUCAAAAUGAUGUGAUUGUUGCUGAUGUCAUAGUGCACGGUCUACAGUAUGUUGGCGAAGAUGCCGCUGCACCAUAGUCGGAGUUGUCGAAUUAGCGGAGGUCGCUGAAGAAGUGCAGACUUUCUGUCUAGACCGGAAGGCCCGGUGGCCGGAAGGUCCGGGAGGAGCCGAAAGUUCUGGGGGUUGCGAUUCUGCAAGAACAUGAUAUUGGGGAUCUUGGAUUUGGGCGGAAAAAUUCGGGAAAACCCCAAAUCUGAAGGAGAAAAGAAAAAUUUUGGGUGGAAGGAAGGGCGGGGAAGCUAGAUCUACGAGCCGCACACAAAAUUCAUGAAUCAAAUCCAAGAAAACUUCAUCACACCAACAAAUCACAAAAAAUUGGGAGGGCUAUUUUUGUGAGGAUUUUCAAAAUUGGAACGGAUCACAACAAAAUUAGGCAAGAAAACAAAAAGGGAGGCUCCGAAAUCGUGAUCAACGUGGCUCAUGAUACCCUGAUGAUGUAGGGUAGAACCCUAGAUAUCUGAUCUUUCACGAAAGGAGCGGAUCCCGCGAGGAACACGAAGAACACAAAGGGAAAACAUAAAGGAAACACGGGAGAAAUCACUCAAACCAACAAGAUUCGGUCACACAUAUGCUAGAUCCUCGAAACACAAAAGAGAUACAAGAUCCACGAUCAACAAGGGCCGAUAAAAGUGGCACGGUCUUCUCCGUGAGGAGGUCUUGAGGGGUCUUCCCGUUAGGGGUUCUGAAUCCACUUGGGGGAUCUUCUCCGUAGAGGCCGUGAACUCCUAAGGAGAAGGGGAUCAAGUGGAGAGCAAAGCUUCUCAAUGAGUUACUACUUUGCUAACCCUAAAAUGUAGGUAGGAGAAGAGUAUAUAUAGUCUCGGGGGCGAAAGGGUACACGGGCCUCGGCCCAAGUCACUGCGCGCAGGCAUGGCCGGAAGUACCGGGCCAGGUUCCGGGGAGGGUCCGGCCUAACCAGAGAGUUGGCACGAGAGAAGCUAGGCUGGCGUCCGGGGGCCGGAAGGUCCAGGCCAGGUUUCGGGCUGGUUCCGGGCUAACCAGAGAGUUGGCACGCCCGGGCUGGUCUGGGUCGUCGAAGGUCGGAAGCUCCGGGUCGGACGGAAGUUCUGGGCUCUGGCCGGAAGUUCCGGGCUAAAUAGAGAGCUGACGCCUGUCUCUUCUUCUUCUUCAGCUCUCGGCUCGUGGCUUGUGCGUUGUACUUGAUCACACAUAGCGUCUCGGACUUAGGAAGUAGCCAUGUCUCACUCGAAGGAAAGGGAAACUCAAGUAGGAGUGAUGUCACCUCAGAUUGAAUAGCACGAGUUCUUGCUCUUGUCAUGGGUCCACUUAUAGCUUGGAUAGUCGAGGUAGUGUCCAUGGGGAUGACCAUGGGAUGCUCCGCAUCAGUUUCUGUAUCCUAUCGCGUUUCGGUAACUUAGGGACGGUUCGACAUCAACACCACCGCCACUCAUCUUCGCCGCGGACUCGUCAUCGACAACAACCGCUCAACAAUUUUAACACCUUCAACCGUAAGCAAGGACGGUAACCUCAACGACAUCUUUGUCUACUCCUUGCCAUUACAUUGAUAACCACCAUAGCCCAAUUUUGCAUAUCUUGCCUAUCUAGACUAGCCUUUGAGUAUUGCCCGCAACGUAACUUGUGCACAUUAGUGAUCAUAGCUCCCAUUGCAUACAUACCAUAUCAUUUUGGUACAUAUCUUGGUAUAUUCUUUUAUGUCACAACAUGAUGAGGACAUCAAUACCAUUGUUACACCCACAGCCCCUACUGUUACAUAUACUGGACCAAUUACUAGAGCUCGCGCAUGCCAACUAAAUUACCAGGUACUUUAGUUUCUUGGUAAUGAUUCUAAUGUUCAUGAGAAUAUGAUGCUGCCUAAAUUGGAUACAUUUGUUUUGCUUACAAAUGAAGGGCCUAGCUUGGAGAAGGAUGAACAUUGGAUUAAGAACAUGCAUGGAGAUGAUGGCAUGCGCAAGGGGAACAAGAACGGAGUUACAAGUGAUGAUUUCAGGACUUUGAAGCCACCAUAAUGGGUGCAUGAAGCCUUGGACGAAAUAUACAAGAUGCCACUUCAUAAAUUUCGUCCCGAGGCUAUUAUAGGUGCUGCGUCACCUUAUUAUUGGGCCAGGCCCAUGUAAUUUCGAAAUACAUAAGUAUAGGCUAUUUUUAGACUCCGUAUGCGUGGGGAAACAAGAGAUAGGGUUGAUUUCGGACCCCUCCACCAAGGGUCACGAAAUUCCCCCCUCUUCCUCCAUAUAUACAGCCCUUAGGGCAUCGUUUAGACUUUGGGUUUUGUUUAGAUUAAAAGUUCGCCAUAGCUGCAACUUCGCGUACUUCGUUUGUGUUCAACGACCAGACAAAGGCGUCACAAAACCCCACCUUGAUCAAUAAAGCUUUCAUCUUAUAUUCGCAAUAUCCAGAUUGCAAUCUCAGUUUCUUGCUUGUUCUUCGUUUGCUCGCAGGAAACAGACCCUCUUGGUCAGGUUGAUCGUGCUCCGGCGUGGUCAAUAACCUCUCGGAGUUGGUUUAGCGAUUGCUAAGGCGCGACGUCCUCGCACGUUCGUAGUCGGAUCGUCAAAGUCGACUGCCACCAAAGCGAUAUCCAUCAUCUCAUCGAAAGACGGGACACCUUUGCCUCUAUCAAAACUAUGGCACGUUUCUUGAAUGGACUCAAUCAUCCUAUCAAUAAGAUCGCCGACUUCCAACCUUACUCAAACCUCAUCGAGUUACUGCAUCAAGCUACCAAGGCGGAACGGCAAGUGCAAGAUGACUUCAAGUAUGCCAAGUACUCUUCCAAGAGCUACGGCUUCUCCAACACCCAAGCUUCAACGACUCCAACACCUUCUAGCUCAACCAAGCCUUCUAUAAGCAACGGCGACAAAUCAAGUUUCAUGAAAACUUCGAUAACCUCAAGUCGUCCUCCUACUACAAGCAACUUCAAGCCGAGAUCUUCAUCAUAUACAACUCCAACCGAUGAGACCGUCAAGACAAGUUCCAUCACGUCCUUUGGCGGCCGAGGCCACAAGUCCUUUGAGUGUACCAACAAGCACACCAUGAUCCUCAACGAUGACAGAACCUAUGACUCCAUGAGUGAAGAGGAAUUGGAAGCCCUUGAGCAAGUGGCCAUGCACCGGCGCGUGAACAAAGAUGAAGAUGAUCAUGUCUUUUGUGACGAGGAUCCGAGCCCCGCUCUCGUCGUCUCCAAGGUCUUGACACUUCAACAUCAACAAGACAAAGACCAAAGAUGCCAUAUCUUCCACACCAAGGCCGGCAUCAAUGGAAGGUCUGUGAAGGUCAUCAUCGACGGAGGGAGUUGCCAUAACUUGGCAAGUGAAGAGAUAUGCUCCAAGCUCCAAUUGGUCAAGAUGAAGCACCCGCAUCCCUACAAAGUUCAAUCACUAGGCGACUCCGGCACAAUCCAAGUCGACUAUAUGGUGCAAGUUUCCUUCAAGAUCGGAGCAUACGAAGACACUUUGGAGUGUGAUGUUGUUCCGACGUUCGUUUGCCACCUUCUUCUUGGGCGACCAUGGCAAUUUGACCGAGAUGUCAUCCACAACGGGCGAACAAAUCACUAUAGCUUCAAGAUGAAGAGAAAGGAGUACGUGCUAUGACCUAUGUCUCCUAGCCAAGUGAUCACCGAAAAGCAAGCCACCCAUCAUGGAGAGAAUAGUGAGAGAGCGAACCACCCAAAAGAGAGUGAGCGCCACAAGCCAAAAUUGAGUGCCUCCACGACGAGUGACUAGAAGAACUUAGUCCUAUUUGCCACCAAAAGUGAGAUAAUGAUGAGGACAUCAAUACCAUUGUUACACCCACAGCCCCUACUGUUACAUAUAUUGGACCAAUUACUAGAGCUCGCGCACGCCAAUUAAAUUACCAGGUACUUUUGUUUCUUGGUAAUGAUUCUAAUGUUCAUGAGAUUAUGAUGCUGCCUAAAUUGGAUACAUUUGUUUUGCUUACAAAUGAAGGGCCUAGCUUGGAGAAGGAUGAACAUUGGAGCAAGAACACGCAUGGAGUUGAUGGCAUGCGCAAGGGGAUCAAGAACGGAGUUACAAGUGAUGAUUUCAGGACUUUGAAGCCGCCAUAAGGAGUGCAUGAAGCCUUGGACGAAAUAUACAAGAUGCCACUUCAUAAUAUUCGUCUAUAGGCUAUUCUAGGUGCUGCGUCACCUUAUUAAUGGGCCAGGCCCAUGUAAUUUCGAAAUACUUAAGUAUAGGCUAUUUUUAGAGUCCGUAUGUGUGGGGAAACAAGAGUUAGGGUUGGUUUCGGACCCCACCCUCAAGGGCCACGAAAUUCCCCCCUCUUCCUCCAUAUAUACAGCCCUUAGGGCGUCGUUUAGACUUUGGGUUUUGUUUAGAUUAAAAGUUUGCCAUAGCUGCAACUUCGCGUACUUCGUUUGUAUCCAACGACCAGACCAAGACGUCACAGAACCCCACCUUGAUCAAUAAAGCUUUUCAUCUUAUAUUCGCAAUAUCCCGAUUGCAAUCUCAGUUUCUUGCUUGUUCUUCGUUUGCUCGCAGGAAACAGACCCUCGUGGUCAGGUUGAUCGUGCUCCGGCGUGGUCAAUAACCCUCGGAAGUUGGUUUAGCGAUUGCUAAGGCGCGACGUCUGCACGUUCGUAGUCGGAUCGUCAAGGUCGACUCCCACAGAAAAUGAUAGCCACCAUCUCAUCGAAACAUCGGGACACCUUAGCCUCUAUCAGAUAAGAGAAGUGUUUGAGAACCCAUCAAGUGUCAUGCACUAUGUCCUUUUGUGCAAGGACGAGGCACCCAUAACUAACAAUUCUCACAAUCUACCUUUAGUGUUAUCUUCUCUAUUGCAGGAAUGCCAAGAUGUAUUACCCAACUUUGACAAACCCUUUGAAAUUCAUUGCGAUGCUAGUGGUAAUGGCAUAGGAGGUGUGUUAACGCAAGAAAAGUGCCCCAUAGCUCACUUUAGUGAAAACCUUUCCGGCGCGCAACUUAAUUAUACCAUCCAUGACAAAGAGCUAUAUGCUUUAGUGCGCGUUUUGCAUGAAUGGGAACAUUAUCUUUGCCCUCAUGAAUUUGUCAUUCAUACCGACCAUGAAACGCUUAAAUAUCUCAAGGGUCCAACCAAAUUGAACAAGCGUCAUGCUAAGUGGAGUGAGUUCAUUCAGUCAUUUCCUUAUGUCAUCAAAUAUAUCAAAGGUAAGGAAAAUGUUGUGGCGGAUGAUCUUUCCCGCGUAUGCAUGCUUGUUACCAAACUUGAAUUGAAUGUCAUUGGCUUUGAGCACAUAAAAGACUUGUAUGCGCAUGAUCCUACUUUUCCUGCUCCAUAUACCAAAUGUUUGACGCAUACAUCUUGGGAACGUUAUUACAUCAAAGAUGAUUAUCUUAUGAGAGCUAACAAACUAUGUAUUCCCGAGUCUUCUCUUUGUUUGUUACUUUUGCAAGAAUCUCAUGGAGGAGGACUAACGGGACACUUUGGACGCGACAAUACAUUCAUUAUGCUAUCCAAGAACUACUUUCAUCCCAAGAUGUUCCACGACGUCUCACGCUUCACCAACCGAUGCCCUACAUGUCACAAAGCUAAGUCCAAAGCUCAAUCCCAUGGUCUUUAUAUGCCCCUUCCAAUUCCAUAUCACCCAUCGGAAGAUAUUAGCAUGGAUUUGGUCCUUGGUUUGCCUAGAACUAGAAAUGAAAAGGAUUCCGUGUUUGUUGUUGUGGAUCGGUUUUCUAAAAUGGCACAUUUCAUACCAUGCACCAAGAUAGACGAUGCUUCACAUGUUGCAAAUCUUUUUUGUAGGGAAAUCUUGCGCCUACAUGGAAUGCCAAAGACGAUUGUCUCCGACUGCGAUGUCAAGUUCUUAAGCUACUUUUGGAAGACCUUAUGCGCCAAGCUCGGAAUCAAGCUCUUGUUCUCUUCGGCAUACCAGCCCCAAACUGACGGUCAAACGGAGGUGACAAACCAAACACUCUCCACUCUACUAUGUGUGUUGAUCAAGAAGAACAUCAAGGAGUGGGAGGAGUGCCUACCCAUCGCCGAGUACGCCUACAACCGUGCAAGACAUUCGACUACCGACAAGUCUCCUUUCGAGGUUGUCUAUGGUUUCAACCCGUUGUCCCCAUUGGACAUUCUUCCCCUACCACUACAAGAGCGCAUCAACAUGGACGCGAGUGCCCGAGUGAACUACCUCAAGAGGAUCUAUGAAGAUACAAUGCACACCAUCGAGCGCCAAGUGCAAUGACUCGCGAAAAAGCUCAACAUCAACAAACAACCCAUGGUAUUCAACAUUGGAUAUCUUGAGUGGCUACACCUUCGCAAGGACCGCUUCCCCAACAACGCAAGUCCCAACUUCUACCACGAGCUGAUGGUCCCUUCAAGGUGCUUGAACGCUACAACAACAAUGCCUACAAGAUCGGCAUCCCACGCGACUAGUACUCCGUGAGCGACAUCUUCAACGUCAAAGAUCUCUCCCCCUACUAUGGUGAUGAGGAUUUUGAUCCGAGUUCGGAUCUUUCCCAAGGGAGGGGAGAUGAUAUGGAGCAUCCUAUGGUCAUCCCCAUGGACCUACCAUUAUCUCACCAAGUGCCAAAAGGACCUAUGACACGAGAACGAGUUAGAGCUCUCGAGACCGAGGUGACUUCUUUCCUUCGUGAUAUUACAUAUGAUCCACUCGUGUAGCUACCCGACCUCAAACGGUCAAGUCUCUGUGUUUCAGUGUCAUCCCUGGAUCGGUAAUGCUGACACACACAGUGCUCGAAGGAUUUAUAACAGAGUAGCAAUCACACACUUAUUACAUCGAAUGUCUCAGAAGAGAACUUAUUACAAUAAAUAUGGCUUAAGGCCAUCUAAUACGAUAACAGCGGAAGGCUUGGAAGAUAAAGUGAGUCCAUCAACUCCAACGGCAUUGCUGAGCUGCACGACAACGACCUAACGAACCUUACUCCUCGUCUGAAAAGUCUGCAACAUAAUACGUUGCAGCCCGGAAACGGGUCAGCACAUGGAAUAUGCUGGCAAUAUAACACAGUAGAGCAAGAACAGAAUAAUGCUAUCACUACAUGCAUAUUUGGCUGGUGGAAAGCUCUAUGGUUAUAGUUUUGCGAAAAGCCAAUUUUUUCCUACAACAAAGGAAUAAGUUCUAUUUUAACUAUCAUGGUAGUUGAAACAUCAUUGAGAAGGUUCCCCCAACUCAAUCCCAAUUAAAAUAAUUAUCAACCCAACAAUAUUAAUUUAGAGUGAUGAGAUACUUAGGAUAAUCCAAGUACUAGAUACUCAAGAUGUCCAUAACCGGGGACACGGCUAACCAUGGUUAGAUUGUACACUCUGCAGAGGUUUGCGCACUUUUCUGCACAAGACUCGAUCUCCUCCGUUGGAUCUCUCACACUACUUGGUGUUUGAGAAACGGAUGACCGAGACACAGUCUUUCAGAAACAUUAACUCUUUACUCCGGGCAGACCAUAUGAACCUACAUCCCUCUACCUGUUGAUCCACCUCUUCAAGAGCUCCUGCAACCUACUCAACUAUGCUAGAGCCCAUAAUAGCUUGUGGCUGCACACGGAAGUUUCUAGCAUGAAAAUAUCUCAGUUCCCUUUGAGCCUGGGUGCCGGACCUUAGGAUUAUCACACGGGCACUCAGGGAUAUCCUAGGACAACACUGGAUUCUCCAGGUGCCCGACAAGCAAUCCACCCAGAUGUGUAUUAAAGUUGCCACCUUAAGUUGAACCAUUAAUUAAAUCAUCUCACAUCUGUCAUGGAUUCACUCACCCAAACCACGUCUACGAGCAUAGCAUAGCAAUAUAAGCAAUACGUAGAAGUAACUCCCAAGGGUUUGAAUAUAACAGGGCAAUAGGUUCUACCUCAUCAACUACUUCCCAACCCACAUGUUAAUCACAUCCUAAUCAUGCAACGUUUGAGGAUUGGAGGAAAUGCAUAAAAACUGGGUAUGAAAGGAGUAUGAUCAAUGUGUUACUUGCCUUGCUGACGAUCCGCAAAACCUAAGGACUCGUAGUAGCACGCUUCGCACUUCGGAAAUUCUAUCGCAAACAAACAAUAUCAUACAUAAGCAAUCAAGCAAAUAAGCACGGGUAAAUCUCAAAUAAGAAGAACUAACCAGAAAGUUCAACUUAAGAACUCCGGUUAGCAAAAAGAAUCAAAUCAAACGGAGCAACGAAACUCAAACUGCUUAAGAAACAAGAUCCGUUUACUAAUCUGGACUAAAGUCAAAUUUUACAGUACCAAAAUCUUGUUCAAGUUCAUUAAACAGAAAGAGGGUUUUGAGACGAAGAUCUAGGCGCUUAAAUCACAUGAUUCCGAUAAACGAGCGAAAAGAUAAACUGAAACGAAAAUCGGAUCAGAAAUCGCGAUCGAAAAUAAUCACGAAAAAUCCGAGAAAAAGAAAAACUGACGAACAGGCUAACGAACGAACGUUCGCUGUCUGCGGCUAAUGAGUGAACACCAUUUGUUAAAACGAACGUACGGACGAACGUCCUCUAAAUAAACUAAACCCGAAAAAAACCCGAUCUAUCCUAAAAAAACGAACCUAGGGUUUUCUAAAAAAACCGGAUCGGUUUUAAAAUAAAACCGAACGGCGGCAACGGCGGCUUAUACCUCCGGCGAGGUCCGGCGAGGCGAGGCGGCUCCGGCAAGGUGGGUUGCGGCGGCGGGGUGCACGGGCGGCGGCAACAGCAGGCGGCGGCGCGGCGGCGACGCGAGCUAGGUGGCGGUGGUGGUGGCGGGGUUCGGGUGGUGGUGAGGGGGUCCGGGGCAGCGUAUAUAAAGGAGGGGGGCUAGCUUGGGGAGGGGGCAAGGCGGCGCGGGGAGAUUCCUGACCGGACUCGGCGUCGCGGGCGGCGGCGGCCUCCAUGUCAGGGACGAGGCGGACGGCGUGGCUGGGCUGGGCCGGCUGGGUUUCGGCCCAGUCGGCGAAGAGAAGAUUUUUUAAAAUAAUUUCGCCGAAACUUAAAUAAAUCCUAGAAAAAUAAAUAAAAAUCUAAAAAUGCCAAAACAAAUUUUCACCGUCUAAAUAAAAUAUUUAGAACAAGAUGAACAUUUUCUUGGCCCUAAAAUGCAACUUUGAAAAAUGUGCAAUUUUUCUAAUGCAAAUAAAAUAGCAAUAAAAUCCGAAUAAAAUCAAAUAUUUGAUUUUAAUAUUUUCCUCCAAUAUUUCAAUUAUUUUGGAGAAGUCAUAUUAUCUCUCUCAUAUAUUUUAAUAUGAAAUAUUUUUGGAGAGAAAAAUAAUUAAAACCAAUAAUCCUCGUUUCAAUAUUUGAUAAAAUUCAAAUAUGAAAAAAAUGAAAUCCCCAACUCUCUCCGAGGGUCCUUGAGUUGCUUAGGAUUUCAAGGAUUGCGAAACGAAAUGCAAUAAAGUAUGAUAUGCAUGAAUGAUCUAUGUGUAACAUUCCAAAUUGAAAAUUUGGGAUGUUACAAACCUACCCCCCUUAAGAUGAAUCUCCCCUCGAGAUUCGGGUUGGCUAGAAAAUAGGUGUGGGUGGUCUUUGCGAAGAUCAUCCUCUCGUUCCCAGGUGGCUUCAUCCUCGGUAUGGUGGCUCCACUAAAUUUUGCAAAACUUGAUAACCUUGCUGCGGGUGACUCGGCUGGCAAAUUCAAGAAUUCUGACUGGCUUCUCCUCAUAGGUCAGAUCACUGUCCAACUGAAUUGCCCCCAAGGGUACUGUAUCUCUUAACGGUAUAUCAGCCAUCUCAGCAUGACACUUCUUCAACUGUGAAACGUGAAACACAUCAUGAACUCCUGACAGUCCUUCAGGUAACUCCAACUUGUAGGCAACUUCUCCCAUACAUUCCAAAAUUCGAUAAGGUCCUACAAAUCUUGAGGCUAACUUUCCCUUGACUCCAAAAUGUUUCACUCCUCGCAAGGGUGACACUCGCAAAUAUGCUCUAUCUCCAAUUUCAUAGGUUACCUCCUUGCGUUUUGAAUCUGCAUAACUCUUCUUCCUGGACUGAGCUAUCGUGAAUCAACUUAACCUUCUCUUUAGACUCCUUGAUCAAGUCUGGUCCAAACAACUGCCGAUCUCCAACUUCAUCCCACAUCCAUACAGGGCUUCGAACGAUGCCAUCUUCAAACUGGCCUGGUAGCUAUUGUUGUAUGAGAACUCUGCGUAGGGCAAAUUGUCAUCCCAACUAGAUCCAUAAUCCAGCGCACAAGCUCUCAACAUAUCCUCUAGAAUUUGGUUGACUCUCUCAGUCUGUCCAUCCGUCUGUGGGUGAAAUGUUGUACUGAACUCCAAUCUCGUUCCCAAAGUCUGGUGCAGUUGAUGCCAAAACUUUGAGGUAAACUGUGUCCCUCUAUCUUAUACUAUGGUCCUUGGAACUCUAUGCAGACAUACGAUCCUGGUCAUGUAUAUCUUGGCCAACUUCGCACUGGUAUAGGUUGUUUUCACUGGGAUAAAGUGAGCCACUUUGGUCAAGCGAUCAACUACUACCCAUAUAGAAUCAUAUCCUGAUUUGGUCCUGGGCAAUCCAGUGAUGAAAUCCAUGCCAAGUUUAUCCCACUUCAAUUCGGGUAUCGGCAUAGGCUGUAACAAUCCUGCUGGCUUUUGAUGCUCUGCCUUCACUCUCUGACACACAUCACAUAUAGCUACAUACUUGGCAAUAUCCUUCUUCAUACCAGUCCACCAGAAACGUUCCUUCAAAUCCAGAUACAUCUUGGUGUUUCUGGGGUGUAUCGAGUAUGGGGAGUCAUGAGCCUCCUGAAGUAUUAACUUCCUGAUCUCUAUGUUAUUGGGCACAUAAACACGGUCCUCAAACCAUAAGGUGUCGUGCUCAUCCUCACGAAAACCUUUGGCCUUUCCUUUGCCCAUUCUUUCUUUUAUCUCGGCAAUCUCUUUGUCAUCAUUCUGUGCCUCCCGAAUCUUUCCUAACAAUGUAGACUGAACUUCCAUUGUUGCAUCAAAACCUCUAGGAACAAUCUCCAAUCGAAGUUCCCUGAGAUACUCUGCUAACUCCUUUGGCAAUCCCGUGGUCACUAGGGUGUUAGCAUAACUCUUCCGACUCAAGGCGUCUGCUACGACAUUGGCCUUGCCUGGAUGAUAGUGUAGCUUCCUAUCAUAAUCCUUUAUAAGCUCCAACCAUCUCCUCUGCCUAAGGUUUAACUCCUUCUAUGUGAAAAUGUACUUCAAACUCUUAUGAUCCGUGUACACAUCACAACGAUUUCCAAUAAGGUAAUGUCUCCAAGUCUUAGCGCAUGCACUAGUGCUGCUAACUCCAACUCAUGCGUGGCAUAAUUCAAUUCGUGCGGUUUUAGUUGUCGUGAGGCAUAUAAAACAACUCUUCUGUCCUGCAUAAGCACACUUCCAUGUCCUAGGCGAGAGGCGUCGCAAUACACUUGGAAAUCCUUGCGGAUAUCCGGCAGAAUCAGCACUGGGGCUAUAGUCAAACGUUUCUUAACUCCUGAAAACUUGCCUCACGUUCUUCCGUCCAUUUAAAUUUGGUAUCCUUCUUCAAUAACUCUGUCAUUGGCUUUGCAAUAUUGGAAAAAAUCUCAAUGAAUCUUCGAUAGUAUCCUGCGAGUCCAAGAAAACUGCGGAUCUCGCUAACUGAAGUGGGUGCCAACCAUUUAGUGACUAUUUGAACCUUGGUGGGGUCUACUGCUAUACCUUCUCCUGAUAUAACAUAUCCAAGGAGUCCGACUUCCUUCAACCAAAACUCACAUUUGCUGAACUUGGCAUACAACUGGUGUUCCCUGAGUUUCUUGAGAACUAAACGCAAAUGCUCUUCGUGCUCCUCCUCAUUCUUCGAGUAUACCAUUAUAUCAUCAAUGAACACCACAACAAACUUAUCCAAAUAUUCCAUGAACACUUUGUUCAUCAUGCUCAUGAAAUAGGCAGGGGCGUUAGUCAGUCCAAAUGACAUGACCGUAUAUUCAUACAACCCAUACCGUGUGGUGAAUGCUGUCUUUGGUAUAUCCUUCUCUCGAAUCUUCAGCUGGUGGUACCCUGAUUGCAGAUUGAUCUUUGAAAACACCUUAGCUCCUUGCAGUUGGUCAAACAAAUCAUUGAUCAUCGACAGUGGGUAUUUGCUCUUGAUCGUCACCUCAUUUAACGCACGAUAAUCAACAACCAUUCUUAGAGACUUAUCCUUCUUCUCAACCAUAAGCACUGGGGCUCCCCAUGGUGAUGAACUCCGUCGAAUAUAACAUUUCUCCAAUAAUUCCUUGAUCGGAUUCUUAAUCUCCUCUAGAUCAUUUGCGGGCAUCCGGUAUGGUCUCUUUGAUAUUGGCCCUGUACCUGGCAAUAGCUCUAUCAAAAACUCGAUGUCACGAUCCGGUGGCAUGCCUCAUAACUCCUCUGGAAAAACAUCCGGGCAAUCCUUCACUAUAGGCACUUCCUCCUAAACAACUCCCGUGAGGGUAUUUACUUGGCUCCUCCUAGGCGCAUGCCUAGAUACAUACUUAAUCCGUUUUUGCUCCGGGGUGGUGAGAUAAAUCGACUUACUAGCACAGUCAAUGCUUCCUCCAUACUUUGACAUCCAGUCCAUGCCUAAUAUCACAUCCAAUCCUUGUGACUCCAAAAUUAUUAGGUCUGACGGGAAAACAUGGUUACCAAUGGUUAGGGGUAUCUGGUCGCACCAUCGACUAGCCAUAUACUCUGCUCCAGGUGAACUCACUAACAGAGGGGUCCUAAGGGUUUGGGUUGGUAGUUUAAACUUAUCCACGAAUCCCCUUGAUAUGUAUGAAUAUGAUGCACCAGUAUCAAAAAGAACAAGGGCGGUAAAAUACUUAAGCAAAAACUUACCAAUAACUGCAUCUGGCUGCUCUUCAACCUCCUCCAUGUUAACGUGGUUCACUUGUCCUUUGUUGAAUGGAUUGGGCUUCUUCCCAGCGCUCCCAUUACCAUUUCCAUUCUUUGCUUCAGGGCACUCCGUGGCAUAGUGUCCGGUCUUCCCGCACUUGAAGCAAGUAAUGUGACUUAGGUCUCUCUUGGCGGGUGUGGCUGGAUUGGGGCGGUUCUGAUUGUUGCUUGUUCCGUUCCCAGUCCCAUUCUUAGAACCAUUGUGGUUGUGCGAACUUCCUCCCUUAUGGUUAUAACCUCCAUGUUAUGAACAAGUCCUCCCGAGUUCGGGGUUAGGCGAGGUUUCUGCUGAGCUCCUGAGUUAUACCUUCCUUGUCCAUACUUCCUCUUACGGCUCUCAAUCUGCUGUUGCUUCCCUUCAAUCAUAAGAGCCUUAUCUACCAACUCAUGGUAGUUGUUGAAUGUUGCCACCAUCAACUACAUGCUCAUCUCAUCAUUCAGCCCUUCCAUAAACUUCUCCUGCUUCGCGGCAUAUGUGGCCACAUCGUAAGGGGCAUAGCGAGAUAACUUGCUAAACUCAUCCACGUGCUGAGCCACAGUAUGGUUCCCCUAGCGUAAGUUGCAAAACUCACACUUCUUCAUGCUCAUAGCUCCAGUGGAGACAUGGGCUGUACAGAAAGCUUGCUGAAACUGAUCCCAAGUGACGUUGGCUAUGGGGAAAGUGGUCGUAUAAUUCUCCCACCAUGAGGCUGCUGGUCCAACCAAUUGAUGUGCGGCAAAGCGCACCUUCUCAGCAUCUAUGCAACCUGCGGUGGUCAACUCCCUUCCAAUACGGCGUAGCCAAUCAUCUGCUACUAUAGGCUCGGUGCUACUGGAAAACACCGGCGGCUGCAACCUCAGAAAGCGAGCUAAGUUGUCAACUGGAGGCGGGUUGUUCUUGUUGUUGCCUUGGUUCUGGACUAACAAUUGCAUCAAGGCAUUCUGCUGCUGGAUCAACUGAGUGAGUUCUGGCGGGAAGGCAAAUCCAGUGUCACGUCUCAGAGGCAUCUGGCGGGUUUAGAGGGGAGAGAUUAGAAUAGAAAAGGGGUCUAGUGAGAAAGCACUACCCAUAUGCACAUGAGACAAACACAAUCAUUUCACUCAAUCAAUCAAGUAAGGGUAUACAAAUGGUCUAGAACUAUCGUAAAAAGUGCUCAACUACUACUAUAUACAUGGGGGAAUACUACUAAUCAUUUGGUGGUCAUCUAGAAAUUUUGAUCGGUGGAAGACUCCAUGAUGUCUACUCCAACUUCGUCUUCAAAGUCAUAUUCACUUGGGUCGGAGUCGGUGUCGUCGAUGAUGAUGUAGUUCUCCGAGCAAAUUGAGUCGUCGUCCUCUCCUCCUAGCACGGGGUCUCCCAUGAAUACUCCGAUCUUCUUUAUCAAGUCGUCAUUCUUCUCCAAUAGUGUUGCAAUUUCCUCCUCAUAUCCAUCGCGUGUAGACUUAAGUUCUUCUUCCAGCUCGAUGAUCCUUGUCUUCGCCUUCUUCAAAUAUAUCAUGUAUGCGCACAUCUGAUUCUCCUCGCGUCGAAUGUGCUGGUUUAACUCCUGGAUGAAAGCUGCAAUGGAUCUGUCCUUCUUGGUGCUGAUCAUCUCCCAUUGCUCAUCUCGGCGCCCACAUAUCUGAUAAAUAGUGUCCUUGAGAUCCUUGUUGUAGACUUCUCCAAUGCGUCCCAUGGUAAUGUGGGCUGCCAUGCUCUUUCCUAGACUACAGGUGGGUGCUUCAAAAGAAAAUUCUAUGGGCUUAGUGGUUGGCGAGAACGUCCUUCCUGGAACUUGAACUCCAACGGCAUUGCUGAGCUGCACGACAACGACCUAACGAACCUUACUCCUCGUCUGAAAAGUCUGCAACAUAAUACGUUGCAGCCCGGAAACGGGUCAGCACAUGGAAUAUGCUGGCAAUAUAACACAGUAGAGCAAGAACAGAAUAAUGCUAUCACUACAUGCAUAUUAUAGUUUUGCGAAAAGCCAAUUUUUCCCUACAACAAAGGAAUAAGUUUUAUUUUAACUACCAUGGUAGUUGAAACAUCAUUGAGAAGGUUCCUCCAACUCAAUCCCAAUUAAAAGUAAUUAUCAACCCAACAAUAUUAAUUUAGAGUGAUGAGAUACUUAGGAUAAUCCAAGUACUAGAUACUCAAGAUAUCCAUAACCGGGGACACAGCUAACCAUGAUUAGAUUGUACACUCUGCAGAGGUUUGCGCACUUUUCCCCACAAGGCUCGAUCUCCUCCGUUGGAUUUCUUGCACUACAUGGUGUUUGAGAAACGGAUGACCGAGACACAGUCUUUCAGAAACAUUAACUCUUUACUCCGGGAAGACCAUACCAACCUAUAUCCCUCUACCUGCUGAUCCACCUCUUCAAGAGCUCAUGCAACCUACUCAACUAUGCUAGAGCCCAUAAUAGCUUGUGGCUGCACACGGAAGUUUCUAGCAUGAAAAUAUCUUAGUUCCCUUUGAGCCUGGGUGGCGGACCUUAGGAUUAUCACAUGGGUACUCCGGGAUAUCCUAGGACAACACUGGAUUCUCCAGGUGCCCGACAAGCAAUCCACCCAAAUGUGUAUUAAAGUUGCCACCUUAAGUUGAACCAUUAAUUAUAUCAUCUCACAUCUGUCAUGGAUUCACUCACCCAAACCACGUCUACGAGCAUAGCAUAGCAAUAUAAGCAAUACGUAAAAGUAACUCCCAAGGGUUUGAAUAUAACAUGGCAAUAGGUUCUACCUCAUCAACUACUUCCCAACCCACAUGUUAAUCACAUCCUAAUCUUGCAAUGUUUGAGGAUUGGAGCUAAUGCAUAAAAACUGGGUAUGAAAAGAGUAUGAUCAAUGUGUUACUUGCCUUGCUGACGAUCCGCAAAACCUAGGGACUCGUAGUAGCACGCUUCACACUCCAAAAAUUCUAUCGCAAACAAACAAUAGCAUACAUAAGAAAUCAAGCAAAUAAGCACGGAUAAAUCUCAAAUAAGAAGAACUAACCAGAAAGUUCAACUUAAGAACUCCGGUUUGCAAAAAGAAUCAAAUCAAACAGAGCAACGAAACUCAAACUGCUAAAGAAACAAGAUCUGUUUACUAAUCUGGACUAAAGUCAAAUUUUAAAAUACCAACAUCUUGUUCAAUUUCAUUAAAAAGAAAGAGGGUUUCGAGAAGAAGAUCUAGGUGCUUGAAUCGCCUGAUUCCGAUAAAUGAGCGAAAAGAUAAACUGAAACGAAAAUCGGAUCAGAAAUCGCGAUCGAAAAUAAUCGCGAAAAAUCCGAGAAAAAGAAAAACUGACGAACGGGCUAACGAACGAACAUUUGCUGUCUGUGGCUAAUGAGUGAACACCGUUCGUUAAAACAAACGUCCGCUAAAUAAACUAAACCGAAAAAACCGAUCUAUCCUAAAAAAACGAACCUAGGGUUUUCUAAAAAAACGGAUUGGUUUUAAAAUAAAACCGAACGUCGGCAACAUCGGCUUAUACCUCCAGCGAGUUCCGCCUAGGCGGGGCGGCUCCGGUGAGGUGGGCUGCGGUGGCGGGGUGCACGGGCAGCGGCGGCGGCAACGGCAGUCGGCGGCGCGGCGCUAGGCGGCGGGGCGGCGNNNNNNNNNNNNNNNNNNNNNNNNNNNNNNNNNNNNNNNNNNNNNNNNNNNNNNNNNNNNNNNNNNNNNNNNNNNNNNNNNNNNNNNNNNNNNNNNNNNNNNNNNNNNNNNNNNNNNNNNNNNNNNNNNNNNNNNNNNNNNNNNNNNNNNNNNNNNNNNNNNNNNNNNNNNNNNNNNNNNNNNNNNNNNNNNNNNNNNNNNNNNNNNNNNNNNNNNNNNNNNNNNNNNNNNNNNNNNNNNNNNNNNNNNNNNNNNNNNNNNNNNNNNNNNNNNNNNNNNNNNNNNNNNNNNNNNNNNNNNNNNNNNNNNNNNNNNNNNNNNNNNNNNNNNNNNNNNNNNNNNNNNNNNNNNNNNNNNNNNNNNNNNNNNNNNNNNNNNNNNNNNNNNNNNNNNNNNNNNNNNNNNNNNNNNNNNNNNNNNNNNNNNNNNNNNNNNNNNNNNNNNNNNNNNNNNNNNNNNNNNNNNNNNNNNNNNNNNNNNNNNNNNNNNNNNNNNNNNNNNNNNNNNNNNNNNNNNNNNNNNNNNNNNNNNNNNNNNNNNNNNNNNNNNNNNNNNNNNNNNNNCUGGGGGCGGGGUUCGGCGGGCGGCGGGUUUCGGGUGGUGGUGAGGGGGUCCGAGGCGGCGUAUAUAAAGGAGGGGGGCUAGCUUGGGGGAGGGGGCAAGGCGGUGCGGGGAGAGUCCUGGCCGGACUCCAUGUCGCAGGCGGCGGCGGUCUCCACAUCGGGGACGAGGCGGACAACGCGGCUGGGCUGGGCCGGCUGGCUGGGCUUCGGCCCAGUCGGUGAAGAGAAGAUUUUUUUAAAUAAUUUCGCCGAAACUUAAAUAAAUCCUAGAAAUGUAAAUAAAAAUCUAAAAAUGCCAAAACAAAUUGUCACUGUCUAAAUAAAAUACUUAGAACAAGAUGAACAUUUUCUUGGCCCUAAAAUGCAAAUUUGAAAAACGUGCUAUUUUUCUAAUGCAAAUAAAAUAGCAAUAAAAUCCGAAUAAAAUCAAAUAUUUGAUUUUAAUAUUUUUCCUCCAAUAUUUCAAUUAUUUUGGAGAAUUCAUAUUAUCUCUCUGGAGAGAAAAAUAAUUAAAACCAAUAAUCCUCGUUUCAAUAUUUGAUAAAAUUCAAAUAUGAAAACAAUGAAAUCCCCAACUCUCUCCGAGGGUCCUUGAGUUGCUUAGGAUCUCGAGGAUCGCGAAACGAAAUGCAAUAAAAUAUGAUAUGCAUGAAUGAUCUAUAUGUAACAUUCUAAAUUGAAAAUUUGGGAUGUUACAACUCGAGACAUGGCUACUACCUAAGUCCGGAAUGUUGUGCAUGAUCAGGUACCAAGAAGGCCCUCUCGAAGAAGAACGUCGGAAGGAACCGGAGAAGUCCCUAGGUCCUGGACAUCCGGCCCCAAGCCCCGGACAACCGGCCCCUAGAGCAUCGUCCACAGCAGCCGCCAAGCACCUACAGGCCCCGGACAUCCGGCCAAGUCCAGAAAUCCAGCGCCCUCUAUCCAGAGAGCACAGAGGCCAACCCCGCCAGCCCAGACAUCUGCCCCCUAGCCUGGACAUCCGUCCCCUCGAGAAGGCCCGGACAUCAGGCCCGACGCCUAGACGUCCGGCCCUGUCUGUCUGCGCACAGUAAAGGGCCGAGGCCCCUAUACCCCUUCGCCCUCCUAGACUAUAUAUACUCCUCCUCCCUCUUUCUAGGGUUAGCAUUGGUUUAGCUCAUACUUGAGAUAGAGCUUUGCUCAUCCAUACGGUUCUACUCCACCGAGAGAGACCACAGCCUCUAGGGAGAAAAUCCACUUUGGAUUCAAGACCCCUUCAUGGGAUGACUCCUCAAGGCCUCCUCACGGAGAUGAACUAGUUACCUCUUGUAUCGUCCUUUGUUGGAUUCGGAUCAUGUAUCUCUUUGUGUUUCGAGGAUCUAGCAUAUGUGUGACCGAAUCUUGUUGGUUUGAGUGAUUCUCUCGUGUUUUCCCUUGUGUUUCCCCUCGUGUUCUUUGUGUUCCUCGUUGGGAUCCGCUCCUUUCGUGAAAGAUCGGGCAACUAGGGUUCUACCCUACAUCAUUACUUCUCCAUUGGAGUUCACGACCUCUUCGGAGAAGAUUCCCCAAGUGGAUUCAAGACCCCUCACGGGAAGACCCCCUCAAGGCCACCUCACGGAGAUGAACUAGUUACCUCUUGUAUCGUCCUUUGUUGGAUAUGGAUCAUCUAUCUUCUUGUGUUUCGAGGAUCUAGCACAUGUGUAAUCGAAUCUCGUUGGUUUGGAUGAUUCCUCUCAUGUUUCCCCUCGUGUUAUUCGUAGGAUCUCCUCCAUUUUGUGAAAGAUCGGGCAUCUAGGGUUCUACCCUACAUCAGAGGAGGCUCCUCGUUGCGUCAUAACCCAAGAAUUCAUGCUUCACAUGGUCUAUCGCCCGCCCCGCUACCACCCUCACUUUUUCACCAGUAGAUGCAUUAUUCUUAAAUGAUAAAUUACAUAACAGCUCUUCCUCAUUAUGUUUAUGCACACAAAAAAAUUAUAGGGCACCCCAAAUGGUGCAAGAUGGCUCGUCGGCGCGAUCAACUUACCCUGACAGUUGAAUUUAAAGGCCAUCCCCCGAUAUGGUAUCCACAAAACGACCACAAUUUGGCGAUAUAAAUUCCAUUUAGCUCCAUCACCCGCCAAAUAAACGUGCUACAUGUCCGUCACCCUCUUCGUCGGCGUCGACAACAUUUCGGGGGCCGGGUCCAGGUUAAAAAACCGAGUUUCGGAUUUUAUCUUUGACCAGUACUCUACCACCCUUCUGUGAGCUAACCCACGGACAGAUAUAUGGACAAUAACAUAUAGAGCAAUGCAUCAUCCUUCCAUUUUCAAUUCGGAAAGACUACAGGUUCAAUCAGGACAGAAGGAGGAGGCUCUUCGUUGCAUCGAAACCCAAGAAUUCAUGCUUUAUAUGGUCUAUCGCCCGCCCCACUACCACCCUCUCUUUUUCACCAGCAGAUGCGUUAUUAUUACAUGAUAAAGUACACAACAGCUCUUCCUCAUUAUGUUUAUCCACAUUAAAAAUUAUAGGGCAUCCCGAAUGGUGCAAGAUGGCUCGUCGGCGCGAUCAACUUACCCUGAAUGUUGAAUGCACGUGCCAUCCCCCGAUGUUGUAUCCACAAAAGGACCACAAUUUGGCGAUACGAACUCCAUUUGAGCUCCAUCACCCACCAAAAUGAUCACAACUAAAUGUGUUACGCGUCCAUCACCCUCUUCGUCGACGCCAACAACAUUUCGGGGGCCGGAUCCAGGUUAAAAACUGAGUUUCAGAUGAUUUUAUCUUUCACGUUUACUCUAUCACCCUUCUAUGAUCUCACCCACGGACAUAUAUAUGGACAAUAACAUAUAGAUCAAUACACCGUCCUUCCAUUUUCAAACCGGAAGGACUACAUGUUCAGUCAGGAGAGAAGGAGGAGGCUCCUCGUUGCAUCGAAAUCCAAGAAUUCAUGCUUUACAUGGUCUAUCGCCCGCCCCGCUGCCACCUUCACUUUUUCACCAACAGAUGCAUUAUUCUUAAAUGAUAAAGUACAUAACAGCUCUUCCUCAUUAUGUUUAUGCACACAAAAAAUUAUAGGGCAUCCCGAAUGGUGACAGAUGGCUCGUCGGCGCGAUCAACUUACCCUGAAAGUUAAUUUCACGGGCUAUCCCUCGAUGAUUUAUCCACGAAAGGACCACCAUUUGUCUAUAUGAACUCCAUUUGAGCUCCAUCACUGGCCAAAAUGAUCACAACUAAACGUGGUACGCAUCCAUCACCCUCUUCAUCGUCGUCGACAACAUUUCAGGGGCUGAAAAAUCGAGUUUCGGAUUAUUUUAUCUUUGACGUGUACUCUACCACCCUUUUGUGAGCUCACCCACGGACAGAUAUAUGGACAAUAACAUAUAGAGCAAUGCACCAUCCUUCCAUUUUCAAACCAGAAAUACAACAGGUUCAGUCAGGACAGAAGGAGGAGGCUCCUUGUUGCAUCGAAACCCAAUAAUUCAUGCUUUACAUGGUCUAUCGCCCGCCCCGCUGCCACCCUCACUUUUUCACCAGCAGAUGCAUUAUUCUUAAAUGAUAAAGUACAUAACAGCUCUUCCUCAUUAUGUUUAUGCACACGAAAAAUUAUAUGGCAUCCCGAAUGGUGCAAGAUGGCUCGUCGGUGCAGUGAACUUACCCUGAAAGUAGAUUUCACAGGCCGCCCCCCGAUGUUGUAUCCACAAAAGGACAAGAAUUUGGCCAUACGAACUCCAUUUGAGCUCCAUCACCGGCCAAAACGAUCACGCCAAUCAUGGUAUGCAUCCAUCACCCUCUUCAUCGGUGUCAACAACAUUUCGGGGGCCGGAUCCAGGUUGAAAAACCGAGUUUCAGAUUAUUUUAUCUUUGGCGUGUACUUUACCACCUUCUGUGAGCUCACCCACGGACAGAUACAUGGACAAUAAAAUCUAGAGCAAUGGACCAUCCUUCCAUUUUCAAACUAGAAAGACUACAUGUUCAGUCAGGAGAGAAGUAGGAGGCUCUUUGUUGCAUCGAAACCCAAGAAUUCAUGCUUUACAUGGUCUAUCGCCCGCCCCGCUACCACCCUCACUUUUUCACCAUCAGAUGCAUUAUUCUUAAAUGAUAAAGUACAUAACAGCUCUUCCUCAUUAUGUUUAUGCACACGAAAAAUUAUAGGGCAUCCUGAAUGGUGAAAGAUGGCUCGUCGGCGCGAUCAACUUACCCUGAAAGUAGAAUUCAUGGGCCGUCCCCCGAUGUUGUAUGCAGAAAAGGACCACAAUUUGGCCAUACAAACUCCAUUUGAGCUCCAUCACCGGCCAAAACGAUCCCAACUAAACGUGGUACGCGUCCAUCACGCUGUUCGUCGGUGUCGACAACUUUUCAGGGGCCGGAUCCAGGUUGAAAAACCGAGUUUCAGAUGAUUUUAUCUUUCACAUGUACUCUACCACCCUUCUGUGAGCUCACCCAUGGACAAAUAUAUGGACAAUAACAUAUAGAGCAAUGCACCAUCCUUCCAUUUUCAAACCGAAAGGACUACAUGUUCAGUCAGGAGAGAAGGAGGAGGCUCUUCAUUGCAUCGAAACCCAAGUGAUGUAGGGUGGUACCCUAGAUGGCCGAUCUUUCAGGAAAGGAGCAGAUCCCAACGAGGAACAUGAAGAACACGAGGGAGAAAAUGAGAGGAAACACGAGAGAAUCACUCAAACCAACAAGAUACGGUCACAGAUGUGCUAGAUCCUCGAAACACAAAGAGAUACACGAUCCAUGAUCAACAAGGGACGAUAUAUAGGGUAACUGGUUCUUCCCCGUGAGGUGGUCUUGAUGGGGCCACCUGAGAGGGGGUCUUGAAUCCAACAUGGAUUUUCUCCGAAGAGGGGUCGCGGUCUCUCUCGAGGAGUAGAUUAGUAUGGAUGACCGAGGCUCUAUCUCACAAAUGAGCUAUCACAACACUGAACCUAGAAAGAGGGAGGAGGAGUAUAUAUAUUGUAGGUGGGCAAAGGGGUACAUGGGCCUCGGGCCCUUACAUUGUGCGCAGACAGGGGAGGCCAGAUGUCCGGGCUGUCGGGGCCGGCCUUAACACUCUCUGGAUAGAUGGGGUCAGGAUGUCCGCGCGAUGGGCCAGAUGUCCGGAGGCUCGGGGCGGGCCAGAUGUCCGGGCUGGGGGUCCGGAUGUCCGGGUUGGCGGGGUCGGCCUCGGUGCUCUCUGGAUAGAGGGUGCUGGAUUUCCGGACUUCGGGCUGGAUUUCCGGGCUGGGCAGGAUGUCCGGGGCCUGUAGGUGCUUGGCGGCUGGGUGACUGUUGUGGGUGAUGCUCCAGGGGCCGGAUGUCCGGGGUCAUGGCCGGGUGUCCAAAGCCUGGAGGCUGUUCUUGACUCCUUCCGUUGGUUCUCUUCGUCCGUGAACUUGGAGGCCUGUUCAUCUUCACGUGCAUCUUCGGGAGGGUCCUCUUGAUACCUAAUCAUGCACAACAUCCGGACAUAGGUAGUAGCCAUGUCUCGAGUGGAUCAUAUGUGAAAUCACUAAGGAAGGAAGUCACCUCGGUCUCGAGAGCUCUAGCUCGUGCUCGUGUCAUGGGUCCGCUUGGCACUUGGUGAGAUGGUGGUAGGUCCAUGGGGAUGACCAUAGGAUGCCCCGCAUCAUCUCCCCUCCAUUGGGAAAGAUCCGACCUCGGGUCAAAAUCCUCAUCACCAUGGUACGGGGAGAGAUCUUUGAUGUUGAAGAUGUCGCUCCUGGAGUACUUGUUGCAUGGAAUGUCAAUCUUGUAAGCGUUGUUGUUGUAGCGUGCAAGCACCUUGAAGGGUCCAUCAGCUCGAGGUAGAAGUUUGGACUUGCGUUCAUUGGGGAAACAGUCCUUCCAAAGGUGUAGCCACACAAGAUCUCCGGUGUUGAAUAUCAUGGGUUGCUUGUUGAUGUUGAGCUUGGUCGCGAGUCAUUGUACUUGGCGCUCAAUGGUGUGCCUUGUAUCUUCAUGCAUCUUCUUGAGUAAGUUCACUCGGGCACUCGCGUCCAUGUUGGUGCGCUCUUGUAUUGGAAGAGGAAGAAUGUCCAAUGGGGACAACGGGUUGAAACCGUAGACGACCUCGAAGGGGGACUUGCCGGUAGUCGAAUGUCUUGCACGGUUGUAGGCGUACUCGGCGAUAGGUAGGCAUUCCUCCCACUCCUUGAUGUUCUUCUUUAUCAACACGCGUAGUAGAGUGGAGAGCGUACGGUUCGUUACCUCCGUUUGGCCGUCGGUUUGGGGAUGGUAUGCCGAAGAGAACAAGAGCUUGAUUCCGAGCUUGGUGCAUAAGGUCUUCCAAAAGUAACUCAAGAACUUGACAUCGCGGUCCGAGACAAUCGUCUAUGGCACUCCAUGUAGGAGCAAGGUUUCCCUACAAAAAAGAUUUGCAACAUGUGAAGCAUCGUCUAUCUUGUUGCAUGGUAUGAAAUGUGCCAUUUUAGAGAAUCGGUCCACAACAACAAAGACUGAAUCCUUUCCAUUUCUAGUUCUAGGCAAACCAAGCACAAAAUCCAUACUAAUAUCUUCCCAUGGUUGAUAUGGAAUUGGGAGAGGCAUGUAAAGGCCAUGAUAUUGAGCUUUGGAUUUAGCUUUGCGACAUGUCGAACAUCGGUUGGUGAAGCAUGAGACGUCGCGGAACAUCUUGGGCCAAUAAUAGUUCUUGGAGAGCAUAGCAAAUGUCUUGUCAUGUCCAAAGUGUCCCAUUAGUCCGCCUCCAUGAGAUUCUUGCAAAAGCAACAAACAAAGAGAAGACUCGGGGAUGCAAAGUGUCUUAGCUCUCAUAAGAUAAUCAUCUUUGAUGUAAUAGCAUUUCCAAGAUGUAUGCAUCAAACAAUUGGCAUAAGGAAUUGCAAAAGUAGGAUCAUGCUCAUACAAGUCUUUUAUGUGCUCAAAGCCAAUGACAUUUAAUUCAAGUUUAGUAACAAGCAUGCAUAUACGGGAAAGUGCAUCUGCCACAACAUUUUCGUUGCCUUUGAUAUACUUGAUGACAUAAGGAAAAGACUCAAUAAAUUCACUCCAUUUAGCAUGACGCUUGUUCAACUUAGUUUUGACCCUUAAGAUACUUAAGCAUUUCAUGAUCGGUAUGGAUGAUAAAUUCAUGAGGGCGAAGAUAAUGUUCCCAUUCACGCAAAACUCACACUAAAGCAUAUAGCUCUUUGUCAUAGAUGGGAUAAUUGAGUUGCGCUCCGGAGAGUUUCUCGCUAAAGUAUGUUAUGGAGCGCUUCUCUUGCGUUAACACACCUCCUAUGCCAUUACGGCUAGCAUCGCAAUGAAUUUCAAAGGGUUUGUCAAAGUUGGGUAAUGCAAGCGCGGGAGCAUGAGUAAGCAAAUUCUUAAGCUCAUUUUGGGGUUAGAGAAAAUAAAUGAUAAUGCAUAUAAACUUGAGCUGCCUGCAGAUUUUGGGGUUAGUCCCACUUUUAACAUUGCAGAUUUGAAGCCUUAUUUGGGUGAGGAAGAUGAACUUUCGUCGAGGACGACUUCAUUUCAAGAAGGGGAGGAUGAUGAGGACAUCAAUACAAUUGUUACACCCACAGCCCCUGCUGCUAUACAUACUGGACCAAUUGUUACACCCACAGCCCCUGCUGCUAUACAUACUGGACCAAUUACUAGAGCUCGUGCACACCAACUAAAUUACCAGGUACUUUCGUUUCUUGGUAAUGAUUCUAAUGUUCAUGAGAAUAUGAUGCUGCCUAAAUUGGAUACAUUUGUUUUGCUUACAAAUGAAGGGCCUAGCUUGGAGAAGGAUGAACAUUGGAGCAAGAACAAGCAUGGAGAUGAUGGCAUGCGCAAGGGGAACAAGAACGGAGUUACAAGUGAUGAUUUCAGGACUUUGAAGCCACCAUAAUGGGUGCAUGAAGCCUUGGAAGAAAUAUACAAGAUGCCACUUCAUAAAUUUCGUCCCGAGGCUAUUUUAGGUGCUGCGUCACCUUAUUAUUGGGCCAGGCCCAUGUAAUUUCGAAAUACAUAAGUAUAGGCUAUUUCUAGAGUACGUAUGUGUGGGGAAACAAGAGAUAGGGUUGAUUUCGGACCCCUCCACCAAGGGCCACGAAAUUCCCCCCCUCUUCCUCCAUAUAUACAGCCCUUAGGGAAUCGUUUAGACUUCGGGUUUUGUUUAGAUUAAAAGUUCGCCAUAGUUGCAACUUCGCGUACUUCGUUUGUGUUCAACGACCAGACAAAGGCGUCACAGAACCCCACCUUGAUCAAUAAAGCUUUUCAUCUUAUAUUCGCAAUAUCCAGAUUGCAAUCUCAGUUUCUUGCUUGUUCUUCGUUUGCUCGCAGGAAACAGACCCUCGUGGUCAGGUUGAUCGUGCUCCGGCGUGGUCAAUAACCUCUCGGAGUUGGUUUAGCGAUUGCUAAGGCGCGACGUCCUCGCACGUUCGUAGUCGGAUUUUCAAAGUCGACUGCCACCAAAGCGAUAUCCAUCAUCUCAUCGAAAGACGGGACACCUUUUCCUCUAUCAGACGCUCUUUCGAAAAGUUUGCAAUACGGUUCGAAGGUGGGUGACAUGAUCUUUGAGAUAUUUGCUAAAAACAAGGAUAUCGUCGAAGUAGACUACAACGAACUCACCAAUGUAAGGGCGAAAUACAUAAUGCAUAAGACGCAUGAAAGUACCGGGUGCUUCUAAUAAACCCAUAGGCAUAACUAACCACUCAUACAAACCAAACUUUUUUUUGAAAGCAAUUUUCCAUUCAUGACCCUCUUGUAUGUGUAUUUGAUAGUAACCACUUUUGAGGUCAAUUUUGGAGAAAAUAGUCGUACCUCUAAGUUCAUCUAGCAUAUCAUCAAGGUGUGGAAUGGGGUGCCUAUAGCGAAAGGUGAUAGCAUUGAUAGGUCUACAAUGGGAAUACAUGCGAAAUCUACAGUCUCUUUUUGGCACAAGAAUGACCGAUACGGCACAAGGACUCAAACUUUCACGCACAUGUCCAUGGUCUAUGAGAUGUUUUACUUGCCUUUGUAUUUCUUUGGUUUCUUCGGGGUUGACACAAUAUGGAGCCUUGUUCGGAAGUGGUGCUCCGGGGAUGAGGUCGAUGCGGUGCUCGAUGCCUCAUAGUGGAGGUAGACCCGGAGGUAGCUCAUCGGGGAAAACAUCUUGGAAUUCAUGCAAUAGAGAAGAUAACACCAAAUGUAUAUUGUGAGAGGUGUUAGUUUUUGGUGCCUCGUCCUUGCACAAAAGGACAUAGUGCAUGACACUUGAUGGGUUCUCACACACUUCUCUCAUCUCACAUUUGGUGGCAAAUAGGACUAAGUUCUUCUUGUCGCUCAUGGAGGCACUCAAUUUGGGCUUGUGGCACUCACUCUCUUUUUGGUGGUUCGCUCUCUCACUAUUCUCUCCACGAUGGGUGGCUUGCUUGUCGGUGAUCACUUGGCUUGGAGACAUAGGUCGUAGCACAUACUCCUUCCCUUUCAACUUGAAGCUAUAGUGGUUUGUACGCCCUUUGUGGAUGAUGCCUCGAUCAAAUUGCCAUGGCCGUCCAAGAAGGAGGUGGCAAACGGACAUUGGAAAGACAUCACACUCCAAAGUGUCUUCGUAAGCUCCGAUCAUGAAGGAAACUUGUACCCUAUGCUCGACUUGGAUAGUGUCGGAGUCGCUUAGCCAUUGAACAUUGUAGGGUUGCAGGUGCUUCAUUUUGAUCAAUUUUAGAUUGGAACAUAAUUCUUCACUUGCUAAGUUAUGGCAACUCCCUCCAUCGAUGAUAACCUUGACGGACCUUCCAUUGAUGUCGGCCUUGGUGUGGAAGAUAUGGCAUCUUUGGUCUUCGUCUUGUUGAUGUUGAAGAGUCAAGACCUUGGAGACAACGAGAGCGGGGCUCGAAUCUUCGUCACAAAAUACUUGAUCAUCUUCAUCUUCGUUCACACGCCGGUGCAUGGGCACUUGCUCAAGGGCUUCCAUCUCCUCUUCACUCUUGAGACAUAGGUUCCGUCGUCGUUGAGGAUCAUGGUGCGCUUGUUGGUACAUUCAUAGGACUUGUGGCCUCGUCCGCCGCAUGUGAAGCAUUUGAAGGAACUUGUCUUGACGGUCUCAUCGGUUGGGGUAGAUGAUGAUGAAGCUCUCGACUUGAAGUUGCUUGUGGUAGGAGGACGACUCGAGGUUGUCGAAGUUUUCUUGAAACUUGACUUGUCGCCGUUGCUUGUAGAUGGCUUGGUUUAAGUAGAACGUGUUGGAGUCGUUGAAGCUUGGGUGUUCGAGAAGACAUAGGACUUGGAUGAGAGCUUAGCAUACUUGAAGUUCCGCCUUGGUAGCUUGAUGCACUAGCUCGAUGAGGUUCGAGUAUGGUUGGAAGUCGGCGAUCUUCUUGAUAUGAUGAUUUAGCCCAUUGAAGAAACGUGCCAUAGUUUGCUCGUCAUUUUCCAUGACAUUGGCUCAUAUCAUGGCAAUCUUCAUUUCCUUGUAGUAUUCUUCAAUGCUCUUGGUUCCUUGCUAGAGGAGUUGGAGUUUCUUGAAGAGGUCGCAGUUGUAGGUUGGCACGAAGCGUGCUCUCAUGACAUCCUUCAUUUGCGCCCAAGUUGUGAUGGGUUGUUCACCUCUUGCCGCUCGGCGCUCAAUGACUUGUUCCCACCAAAUGAGGAUGUAGUCUUGUAACUCAAGGGAUGCCAUCACGAUCUUCUUAUCUUCCUCAUAGUUGUGCAAGCGAAAGAUUUUGUCAACCUUCAAUGCCCAUGAAAGGUACUCUUCGGGAUCAUUGCUUCCAUUAAACUUGGGCAUGGUGAACUUUAGCUUGCUUUAUCGUUGCUCAUCAUUGUGUUUGGGUCGGGGAUGGUGACGUCCUUGACGAGGAGGAUUGGCUCCCUCAACUUGCUCUUGUCUUGGGGGAUAUCCGUUGUCUUCUUGCUCUUGGUGAACUUGAGGUUCUUGUCUAGCUUAUAUAGGAGCUUGUCGAGCUUGACGAUGUAUGCGAGCUUGAUAUAUUCUUUCAUGAACUUCAUCACGAAGCGCUUCUUGGUUCUCACGAGCUUGUCGGUUGCACGUGCCUAUGGCUAGGCUUGAAUAUCGGAGGGCAUGUUGCGCCUCAAGUGCUUGAGCUUCGUGUAGUUGUUGUUCUUGACGUUGUGUUUCGACAUCUUGUGCAUCUUGGUGUUGGCGCGCUCGCUCUUCCUCUUGUUGUUUGCGUAGGCGUUGCCGUUCUUGUGCUUGCACGAAAGUAGCUUGCUUUUGACGGUGUCGAUGUUCUUGUGCGCGAGCUUGCUCUUGAGAGACGGUGUCAUGUAGCGGGUUGUGGUUGGCGUGAUGGUCUUGGCGCGCGGCACGACAAAAAGUGUUUGAUGUCGGAGUACUUGAGCCGGACUUUGCUUAUCUUUCCUCUUUUGCUUAAAUGGUUGUUUGGCUCUUUGUCUUUUGAGCUCUUUUCUCAUGCAAAACUUCACGAACCAGGAUAGCAAUUGUGUAUAUGUGAUGACAAACUUGUGACACUAGAGAUGAUACCAAGAUAUGCACGACUAUGAUAUGGUAUGUAUGACAUGGGAAGUAUGAACACUAAUGUGCACAAGUCACACUGCCGGCAAUACUCAAAGGCUAGUCUCGAUGGGUAAGGUACGCAAAUAUGGGCUAUGUGGUUAUCAAUGUAAUGGCAAGGAGUAGACAAAGAUGUCGUCGAGAUUAUCGUCCAUGGUAUGUCGGGUGUAGGCAAGGACGAAUGAUGAUGAGGUUGUUGUCGAGUCUGUGGCGAAGAUGAGUGGCGGUGAUGUUGAUGUCGAACCGUACCUAAAUAGCCAAAACACAAUAGGACACGGGAACCGCAACUCAAAUUCUCAAAGCAAAACGUGUCAAAAUUCUUGGGGUUGGUAGCGGGUAAGCGAUGGUGGUACUAUGAGGAAGUGGUGGUGUUAUGAUGUGUUGUAUGUGGGCACUGGAACAAAAUUUGGCGAGAGUUAGGCGGGAAACGGGGCGGUGGAUGGAAGUGUUGCUGUCAGGGCCGGAUGUCCGGGCUUGAGGGCUGGAUGUCCGGGCUGGAGGGCCGGAUGUCCGGGGUGGUUGGAUGUCCGGGCAUCGGGCCGGAUGUCCGGGCUCGGGAUCCGUGGAUGAACUCGAGGAACUCCGCGUGGAGAGGUCAAAUCCGGGGCAAAAUUAGGAAGAUUUUGUGGAUGGAAUUUGGGGAAAAGAUGGGGGAAAGCUAGAUCUACAUGCUAAACAUGAAAUCCGUGGAUCAAAUCCAACAAAACUUCAUCACACCAACAAAUCACAAAAAAAAAUUGGGGGGCUAUUUUUGUGGGGAAUUUUCGAAUUUGGGACAAAAUCAAGAAAACAAGGCUAGAAAACAAAGGGGGGAGGCUCCGAAAUAGUGAUCAGUGUGGCUCUUGAUACCAAGAUGAUGUAGGGUGGAGCCCUAGAUGGCCGAUCUUUCACGAAAGGAGCGGAUCCCAACGAGGAACACGAAGAAUGCGAGGGGGAAACAAGGGGAAACACAAGGGGAAACACGAGAGUAUCACUCAAACCAACAAGAUACGGUCACACAUGUGCUAGAUCCUCUAAACACAAAGAGAUACACGAUCCACGAUCGACAAGGGACGAUACACAGGGUAACCAGUUCUUCUCCGUGAGGAUGUCUUGAUGGGGCCACCCGAGAGGGGGUCUUGAAUCCAAUGUGGAUCUUCUUCGAAGAGGGGCCGCGGUCUCUCUCGAGGAGUAGAUCCGUAUGGAUGAGCGAGGCUCUAUCUCACAAAUGAACUAUCACAACGCUUACCCUAGAAAGAGGGAGGAGGAGGAGUAUAUAUAGUCUAGGUGGGCGAAGGGGUACAUGGGCCUCGGGCCCUUACACUAUCCGCAGACAGGGGAGGCCAGAUGUCCAGGCGUCGGGCCGGAUGUCCGGGCCCUCGCAAGUUGCAGGAUGUCCGGGCUGGUGCCGGAUGUCCGCGCUGUCGGGGCCAGCCUUGACUCUUUCUGGAUAGACGGGGUCCGGAUGUCCGGGCGAUGGGCCGGAUGUCCGGAGGCUCGGGGCAGGCCGGAUGUCCGGGCUGGGGGUCCGAAUGUCCGAGCAAGCGGGGUCGGCCUUGGUGCUCUCUGGAUAGAGGGUGCCGGAUUUCUGGGCUGGGGCCGGAUGUCCGGGGCCUAUAGGUGCUUCACGGCUGGCCGGCUUGUGACGCCUGGAUAAUUAGGCUACAGUAAUCCCCCAUUAAUGAUGCCACAUCACCUGUGUCACUGUAGUUAGUCUUGGGUUAGUUCAAAAACCGAUUCAAAAUUCAAAUUCAAAAUCAAGUCAAACAAUUAAAGUUUUCAAAAGUCAAAACUAAAAUGUUCUCAAUGUGACAAAUAAAUCAUGGAUAAUACUGGUGGAGAAACCACACUUUUAUAAAAUGUUUAAAUACUCUAAAAUGAAUAAAACAGUAGCAAAAACAAUUAUUUAAAUGCCUUUAAAUAAUCAACAAUUUCAAAACCGAAUUGUCAUAAGUAUUAAACUAUUGUGGCAGUGGCAUAAUUUGUAGCAUCUAUUUAGGUGCCACUUUGGUAUUUUACUAAAACUAAAAUAAAAGGAAACUAAAAGAAAACAAAAAUAGAAAAAUUAAUAAAAAGUAAAAGAAACCGAAGAGAGGGAAAAGAACCCCCGCUUCCCCCACUGGGCCUCGACCCAGCCGGCCCAGUCGGCCACCCCAUCUGGCCCAGGCCGACCCCACUCCCCCGUAACUCCCUGGGCGGCCAAACCCUAAUCCCCCAACGCACCCACUCGCCCCACUCCCCCACCCACGUCGCACCCUCCCCUGAUCCCGAUCUAGAUUGGGGCAUCACCCGUCGCCAUCGUCAGAGGACCCCGCCGGAGGCCACCUCGCGGGAGCCACCCCGCCGGAUCGCCGCUCGCCUCCCCGUUGCCUAGUCGUAACCGUCCUCCUCCUCAACCCCNNNNNNNNNNNNNNNNNNNNNNNNNNNNNNNNNNNNNNNNNNNNNNNNNNNNNNNNNNNNNNNNNNNNNNNNNNNNNNNNNNNNNNNNNNNNNNNNNNNNNNNNNNNNNNNNNNNNNNNNNNNNNNNNNNNNNNNNNNNNNNNNNNNNNNNNNNNNNNNNNNNNNNNNNNNNNNNNNNNNNNNNNNNNNNNNNNNNNNNNNNNNNNNNNNNNNNNNNNNNNNNNNNNNNNNNNNNNNNNNNNNNNNNNNNNNNNNNNNNNNNNNNNNNNNNNNNNNNNNNNNNNNNNNNNNNNNNNNNNNNNNNNNNNNNNNNNNNCGCGCCUGCAGCCGCGCCCGCUCGCGCCCGCUCGCUCCUCGACGCGCCCGUGGCGCGUCCCGCGGCCCCUGCUCGCCGCUGCUGCUGCGCACCCAGCAAACUGCCCUCGCCCCUGCAAGCCUCGCCCCGCUCGCAACCCGCGCCGCUGCCCCCGCCCUUCAAUAGUGUCCCGUCUUCCCUGCACGCGCGCCCACUGUCCCUGUUCGCGCGCAGCUGCACCCCCUUCACCAUCGCUGCUGCCUUGUGCCGCUACUGCCCCGUGACGCUGCCUUGCUCCAUGCACGCCCUCGGGCCACCUCGUGCUCCUCUCGACCCGCGGGCAUCGCCGUUGCCCCGUUUCUUGUCGCUGCACCGGCCGCCGCUCUUGCCGCUCGCGCGCACCUGACCGCGGCGGCCCCGCUCGGCCGCUCCCUCGCUUAGCUGCCUCUCCCUUCCCGCUAGCCCAUACCGGUGGCCUCGCCGUGGCCGGGCCCCGCGCCCGCUGGCCGCGUCGAGGCCGGCGCCCACACCCCCACUCCGGCCCCGUUCCAGCCUCGCCUCAUUACUAGGCAGGGCUGCGGCUUCGCUCGCACCUCCCUGCCCGUAUGCCCUUUAAGGCCCCUGUGCCUAUGACCAGUGGGCCCACGCCCCAGAACGAAAAAAAAGAAUUAAAUAAAUAAAUAAAAUUAAUUAAGAUAUUAAUUGAUUAAUUAAUUAACUUAAUUAAUCCUGAUUAGAUUAAUCUAAUCACUUAGUUUAGUUAAUUAAUCUAUUAGGUUAGUUAGUAGUCAAUGACAGCUGGGACCCACACGUCAGUUUGACCCAGUCAACGCCCUGUUGACUGCUGAUGUCAUGCUGACCUCAUGAUGAUGUCAGCACACACUAUUCUGGAUAAUGUUGAUUUAAAAUAAUUAAAUAAAUUCUAAAAAUAAUUAAAACUUUAGAAAAUCAUAUAAAAUAAUCCAUAACUCGGAUAAAAAAACUUUGUACAUGAAAGUUGCUCAGAACGAUGAGACGAUUCCGGAUACGCAUCUCGUUCGUCCGCCACACAUCCCUAGCAUAGCAAACAUGCAACUUUCCCCCUCCGGUUCAUCUGUCCAAAAACACCGGGAAUACUUUCUCGGAUGUUUCCCCCCUUCGUCGGUAUCACCUCCUACCGCGUUAGGGCACACCUAGCACCGCUCAUUGUCAUGUCAUGCAUCGUCAUGCUUAUGUAUGCAUUAUAUUUUUUGUUUCUUCCCCCUCUUCUCUCGUUAGACAUCGAGACCGACGGCACUGUUACCCAGUACGACUACGGUGUUGAUGACCCCUCCUUCUCGGCUGAGCUUCCAAGCAAGCCCCCCUUGAUCACCUGAUAUCGCCUAUUCUUCUCUCUACUGCUUGCAUUAGUGUAGUGUAGCAUGUUAGUGCUUUCCGUUAAUCCUAUCCUGAUGCAUAGCCUGUCCUUGCUACUACUGUUGUUACCUUUACCUGCAAUCCUACAUGCUUAGUAUUGGAUGCUAGUAUUCCAUCUGUGGCCCUACAUUCUUGUCCGUCUGCCAUGCUAUACUAUCGGGUCGUGAUCACUCGGGAGGUGAUCACGGGUAUAUACUUAUAUACAUAAUGUAUGAUACUUGUGGUGACUAAAGUCGGUUCGGCUCAUAGAGUACCGGUGAGUGAUUCACGGAUUGGGGGAUGAAAGGACCUUUGUCCCGACGGCCCUCAGGGUGGAUCUUUGUGGCGGAGCGACAGGGUAGGUUGAGACCACCUAGGUGAGAGGUGGGCCUGGCCCUGGUCGGUGUCCGCGGUUACUUCAUAAUAACACGCUUAACGAGAUCUUGGUAUUUGAUCCGAGUUGGGUCGUUGACCUUAUACGCACUAACCGCCACGUGGGACAAGAUAUGGGCAACCGACGUCGUGGUAUAAGCCGAAGCCUUCAUGACGUCAGUGACUGAGCGGCGCGCGCCGGAUUGGACUGGAACGCCUGCUCUUGUAUUAGGGAGGCUAGGUCUGCUUUCGGUCGCGUUCGCAACGUGCAGGUGUGCAAUGGGCGAUGGGCCCAGACCCCUACACCGUAUGAUUUAGACCGACGUGCUGACCUCUGUGUUGUGCCUAGGUAGGGCUGCGACGCGUUGAUCUUCUGAGGCCGGGCAUGACCCAGGAAAUUGUGUUCAGCCAAAGGGGAUCGAGCGUGUCGGGUAAUGUGGUGCACCCCUGCAGGGAAGUUUAUCUAUUCAAAUAGCCGUGAUCUUCGGUAACAGGACGACUUGGAGUUGUACCUUGACCUUAUGACAACUAGAACUGAAUACUUAAUAAAACACACCCUUUCAAGUGCUAGAUACAACCCGGUGAUCACUCUCUAACAGGGCGACGAGGGGAGGAUCGCCGGGUAGGAUUAUGCUAUGUGAUGAUACUUGGUGAACUUACCAUCUACUCUCUUCUACAUGUCGCAAGAUGGAGGCUGCCAGAAGCGUAGUCUUCGAUAGGAUUAGCUAUCCCCCUCUUAUUCUGGCAUCCUGUAGUUCAGUCCACCGAUAUUGCCCUUUACACAUAUCCCCAUGCAUAUGUAGUGUAGAUCCUUGCUUGCGAGUACUUUGGAUGAGUACUCACGGUUGCUUUGCUCCCCCUUUCCCCCUUUGUAUACCUGGUUGUCGCAACCAGAUGCCGGAGCCCAGGAGCCAGACGCCACUGUCAACGAUGACUCCUACUACACCGGAGGUGCCUACUACUACAUGCAGGCCGCUGACGACGACCAGGAGUAGUUUAGGAGGAUCCCAGGUAGGAGGCCUGUGCCUCUUUCGAUCUAUAUCCCAGUUUGUGCUAGCCAUCUUAUGGCAACUUGUUUAACUUAUGUUUGUACUCAGAUAUUGUUGCUUCUGCUGACUCGUCUAUGACCGAGCACUUGUAUUCGAGCGCUCGAGGCCCCUGGCUUGUAUUAUGAUGCUUGUAUGACUUAUUUUAUUUUUAGAGUUGUGUUGUGAUAUCUUCCCGUGAGUCCUUGAUCUUGAUCGUACACGUUUGCGUGUAUGAUUAGUGUACGAUUGAAUCGGGGGCGUCACAAGUUGGUAUCAGAGACGACUGCCUAUAGGAAUCCCCCUUCCACACUCCUUGGUUGAAGUUUAGUCUAGUCAAUGAAAACUAUUUUACUAACAUGGCUGUGCGGCCCAUGGGCCCACGUCGCCAUUGGGUGGUAUUAGGAUCUUUUAUUUCUCAAACUAUACUCCGGGACUCUAAUCUCUCUUCUAUUCGGAUUAAACGAUUUUACUAAACUCUGACUCUAGGUUCUCGUAACCACUUCCUCCCGGAGAGCCCCACACUGAAGAUGAUUGCUCGGUGCAUCGAAGGUUUCCAAAGAUACUCUCCGAUGUUCUCUCGAGGCUUUGUGUCAUUGCUAUAGCAAUUCCCUUCCAUCGAUAAACCCUUAUGGAUAACCAUGUGCACUUGCCAUUGAUAAAAUCAUUCCCCGUUGAUCUUCUUAUCGCAAGAUACCCCGAAAUUCUUGCUAUUGUUCCGAGGUUACUUGGUGCCUAUUGCCUUGCAGUUCUUGCCACAUGAAUACCCCCUACGGAUAAUUGCUCACGCUUACAGAGACCAGUUCUUUCCCCAUUGUUCUUAUGAUUCAUAAGAUACGUGGAAAUACUAUCUGAUCUUUCGAUAAUCCUCUGCCCGCUAUUGCUCUCCAAAUACUUGUCUUUUGGCAUUAUGGUUGCAUUCCAUAUGUCUGGCAAUAUUCAUUAGUCUCCUUUGACACCGUCAUUUUGAUCCUAUUGAUUCAAUAUGAGUGCGAAUGCACGCAAUCAUCGAUUGAUCCUUUUAAAUUAUAUUUCUGGCUCAGAUGUCAUUUUGAACAUGAACUGGAUCUUGGCCAAUCAAAUUGUUGUCGAUUUUACCCCUAAGCUUACUCAACUUAUCCAUCCUUAAUUAGAGCGUUUGCGUCUGAUCUUUUGAUGGGGAAAUCAUAAUUCCUUUACAUGUGAGCUUUGAAUUAGUCCGUUGCUUCUCCUACAUGUGAGCUGACGACGACCAGGAGUAGUUUAGGAGGAUCCCAGGCAGGAGGCUUGCGCCUCUUUCGAUCUGUAUCCCAGUUUGUGCAAGCCAUCUUAUGGCAACUUGUUUAACUUAUGUAUGUACUUAGAUGUUGUUGCUUCCGCUGACUCGUCUAUGAUUGAGCACUUGUAUUCGAGCCCUCGAGGCCCCUGCUUGUAUUAUGAUGCUUGUAUGACUUAUUUUAUUUUUAGAGUUGUGUUGUGAUAUCUUCCCGUGAGUCCUUGAUCUUGAUCGUACACGUUUGCGUGUAUGAUUAUUGUACGAUGGGGCUUCACACUGCUGCUAUGGACGAUGCUCCAGGGGCCGGAUAUCCAGGGUCAUGGCCAGAUGUCCGGGGCCUGGAACCUGUUCUUGAAUCCUUCCGUUGGUUCUCUUCGUCCAUGAACUUGGAGGCUUGUCCGUCUUCACGUGCAUCUUAGGGAGGGUCCUCUUGAUACCUAAUCAUGCACAACAUCUCGGACUUAGGUAGUAGCCAUGUCUCGAGUGGAUCAUACGUGAUAUCACUAAGGAAGGAAGUCACCUCGGUCUCGAGAGCUCUAGCUCAUGCUCGUGUCAUGGGUCCGCUUGGCACUUGGUGAGACGAUGGUAAGUCCAUGGGGAUGACCAUAGGAUGCUCCGCAUCACCAAGAAUUCAUGAUUUACAGGGUCUAUCUCCCGCCGCGCUACCACCCUCACUUUCUUACCAGUAGAUGCAUUAUUCUUAAAUGAUAAAGUACAUAAUAGAUCUUCCUCAUUAUGUUUAUGCACACAGAAUUUUUUAGGGCAUCCCGAAUGGUGAAAGAUGGCUCAUCGGCGCGAUCAACUUACCCUGAAAGUUGAUUUCACGGGCGGUCCCCUGAUGUUUUAUCCACAAAUGGACCACAAUUUGUCCAUAGGAACUCUAUUUGAGUUCCGUCACCGGCCAAAACAAUCACAACUAAGCGUGGUACGCGUCCAUCACCCUCUUUGUUGGCGUUGACAAUAUUUCGGGGGCCGGAUCAAGGUUGAAAAAUCGAAUUUCGGAUGAUUUUAUCUUUGACGUGUACUCUACCACCCUUUUGUGAGCUCACCCAUGGACAGAUAUAUGGACAAUAACAUAUAGAGCAAUGCACCAUCCUUCCAUUUUCAAACCGGAAAGACAACAGGUUCAGUCAGGAUAGAAGGAGGAGGCUCCUCGUUGCAUCGAAACCCAAGAAUUCAUGCUUUAGUCUUUCGCCCGCCCUGCUGCCAACCUCAGUUUUUCACCUGCAGAUGCAUUAUUCUUAAAUGAUAAAGUACAUAACAGCUCCUCCUCAUUAUGUUUAUGCACACAAAAAAUUAUAGGGCAUCCCGAAUGGUGCAAGAUGGCUCGUCGGCGCAAUCAACUUACCCUGAAAGUAGAUUUCACAGGCUGUCCCCCAAUGUUGUAUCCACAAAAGGACCACAAUUUGGCUAUAAGAACUCCAUUUGAGCUCCAUCACUGGCCAAAACGAUCACGACUAAUCAUGGUACGCGUCCAUCACCCUCUUCAUCGGCGACGACAUCAUUUCGGGGGCCGGAUCCUGGUUGAAAAACCGAGUUUCGAUUAUUUUAUCUUUGACGUGUACUUUACCACCCUUCCGUGAGCUCACCCACGGACAGAUAUAUGGACAAUAAAAUCUAGAGCAAUGCACCAUCGUUCCAUUUUCAAACCAGAAAGACUACAUGUUCAGUCAGGAGAGAAGGAGGACGCUCUUCGUUGCAUCGAAACCCAAGAAUUCAUGCUUUACAUGGUCUAUCGCCCGCCCCGCUACCACCCUCACUUUUUUUACCAGUAGAUGCAUUAUUCUUAAAUGAAAAAGUACAUAACAGCUCUUCCUCAUUAUGUUUAUGCACACAAAAAAUUAUAGGGCAUCCCGAAUGGUGCAAGGUGGCUCGUCGGCGCGAUCAACUUACCCUGAAAGUGGAUUUCACGGGCGGCCCCCCGAUGUUUUAUCCUUAAUAGGACCACAAUUUGGCCAUACGAACUCUAUUUGAGCUCCAUCAUCGGCCAAGUUGAUCACAACUAAACGUGGUACGCAUCCAUCACCCUCUUUGUCGGCAUCGACAACAUUUCGGGGGCCGGAUCCAGGUUGAAAAACUGAGUUUUGGAUGAUUUUAUCUUUGACGUGUACACUACCACCCUUCUGUGAGCUCACCCACGGACAGAUAUAUGGACAAUAACAUAUAGAGGAACGGACCAUCCUUCCAUUUUCAAACCGGAAAGACUACAAGUUCAGUCAGAACAGAAGGAGGAGGCUCUUUGUUGCACCGAAACCCAACAAUUCAUGCUUUUACAUGGUCUAUCGCCCGCCCGGCUACCACCCUCACUUUUUCACCAACAUAUGCAUUAUUCUUAAAUGAUAAAGUACAUAACAGCUCUUCCUCAUUAUGUUUAUGCACACGAGAAAUUAUAGGGCAUCCCGAAUAGUGCAGGAUGGCUCGUCAGCGCGAUCAACUUACCUUGAAAGGUGAAUUCAUGGGCCGUCCCACUGUGUUGUAUCCAGAAAAGGACCACAAUUUGGCCAUACGAACUCCAUUUGAGCUCCAUCACCCGCCAAAACGAGCAGAACUAAACGUGGUACGCGUCCAUCACCCUCUUCACCGGCGUCGACAAUGUUUCGGGGGCCGGAUCCAGGUUGAAAAACCGAGUUUCAGAUGAUUUUAUCUUUGACGUCUACUCUACCACCCUUCUAUGAGCUCACCCACGGACAGAUAUAUGGGGAAUAACAUAUAGAGGAAUACAUCGUCCUUCCAUUUUUAAACCGGAGAGACUACAGGUUCAGUCAGGAGAGAAGGAGGAGCCUCCUUGUUGCAUCGAAACCCAAGAAUUCAUGCUUUACAUGGUCUACCGCCCGCCCCGCUGCCACCUUCACUUUUUCACCAGCAGAUGCAUUAUUCUUAAAUGAUAAAGUACAUAACAGCUCUUCCUCAUUAUGUUUAAGCACACGAAAAAUUAUAGGGCAUACCGAAUGGUGCAAGAUGGCUCGUCGGCGCGAUCAACUUACCCUGAGAGUUGAUUUCACGGGCCGUCCCCCGAUGUUUUAUCCACAAAAGGACCACAAUUUGGCCAUAUGAACGUGGUAUGCGUCCAUCACCCUCUUCGUCGGCGUCGAUAACAUAUCGGGGGCCGGAUCCAGGAUGAAAAUCGAGUUUCGGAUGAUUUUAUGUUUGACGUGUACUCUACCACCCUUUUGUGAGCUCACCCACGGACAAAUAUAUGGACAAUAACAUAUAGAGCAAUGCACCAUCCUUCCAUUUUCAAACUGGAAAGACAGUAAGUUCAGUCAGGACAGAAGGAGGAGGCUCCUCGUUGCAUCGAAACCCAAAAAUUCAUGCUUUACAUGGUUUAUCGCCCGCCCUGCUGCCAACCUCACUUUUUCACCAGCAGAUGCAUUAUUCUUAAAUGAUAAAGUACAUAACAUCUCUUCCUCAUUAUGUUUAUGCACACAAAAAAUUAAAGGGCAUCCCGAAUGGUGCAAGAUGGCUCAUUGGCGUGAUCAACUUACCCUGAAAGUAGAUUUCACGGGCCGUCCCCCGAUGUUGUAUCCACAAAAGGACCACAAUUUGUCCAUAUGAACACCAUUUGAGCUCCAUCACCGGCCAAAACGAUCACAACUACUCGUGGUACAAGUCCAUCAGCCUCUUCAUCGGUGUCCACAACAUUUCGGGGGCCGGAUCCAGGUUGAAAAACCGAGUUUCGGAUGAUUUUAUCUUUGACAUAUACUCUACCACCCUUCUGUGAGCUCACCCACGGACAGACAUAUGGACAAUAACAUAUACAGCAAUGCACCAUCCUUCCAUUUUCAAACCGGAGAGACUACAUGUUCAGUCAGGAGAGAAGCGGGAGGCUCCUCGUUGCAUCGAAACCCAAGAAUUCAUGCUUUACAUGGUCUAUCGUCCGCCCCGCUACCACCCUCACUUUUUCACCAUCAGAUGCAUUAUUCUUAAAUGAUAAAGUACAUAGCAGCUCUUCCUCAUUAUGUUUAUGCACAUGAAAAAUUAUAGGGCAUCCCGAAUGGUGCAAGAUGGCUCGUCGGCACAAUCAACUUACCCUGAAAGUAGAUUUCACAGGCCGUCCCCCGAUGUUGUAUCCAUAAAAGGACCACAAUUUGGCCAUACAAAUUCCAUUUGAGCUCCAUCACCGGCCAAAACAAUCACAACUAAACGUGGUACGUGUCCAUCACCCUCUUCGUCGGCGUCGAGAACAUUUCGGGGGCCGGAUUCUGGUUGAAAAACCGAGUUUCGGAUGAUUUUAUCUUUCACGUGUACUCUACCACCCUUCCAUGAGCUCACCCAGGGACAGAUAUAUGGACAAUAACAUAUAGAGUAAUGCACCAUCCUUCCAUUUUCAAACCGGAAGGACUACAUGUUCAGUCAGGAGAGAAGGAGGAGGCUCUUUGUUGCAUCGAAACCCAAGAAUUCAUGCUUUACAUGGUCUAUCGCCCUCCCCGCUACCACCCUUGCUUUUUUACCAGCAGAUGCAUUAUUCUUAAAUGAUAAAGUACAUAAUAGCUCUUACUCAUUAUGUUUAUGCACACGAAAAAUUAUAGGGCAUCCCGAAUUGUGCAAGAUGGCUCGUCGGCGCGAUUAACUUACCCUGAAAGUAGAUUUCACGGGCCAUCCCCCGAUGUUGUAUCCACAAUAGGACCACAAUUUGGCCAUACGAACUCCAUUUGAGCUCCAUCACUAGCCAAAACAAAUCACAACUAAACGUGGUACGCGUCCAUCACCCUCUUCAUCGGCGUCAACAAAAUUAUAGGGGACGGAUCGAGCUUGAAAAACCGAGUUUCGGAUGCUUUUAUCUUUGAUGUGUACUCUACCACCCUUCUAUGAGCUCACCCAAAGACAAAUAUAUGGACAAUAACAUAUACAGAAAUGCACCAUUCUUCCAUUUUGAAACUGGAAAGACUACAUGUUCAGUCAGGAGAGAAGGAGGAGGCUCCUCAUUGCAUGGGAACCCAAGAAUACAUGCUUUACAUGGUCUAUCGCCCGCCCCGCUACCACCCUCACUUUUUUUACCAGUAGAUGCAUAAUUCUUAAAUGAAAAAGUACAUAACAACUCUUCCUCAUUAUGUUUAUGCACACAAAAAAUUAUAGGGCAUCCCGAAUGGUGCAAGGUGGCUCGUCGACGCGAUCAACUUACCCUGAAAGUUGAUUUCACGGGCGGCCCCCCGAUGUUUUAUCCAUAAUAGGACCACAAUUUGGCCAUACGAACUCUAUUUGAGCUCCAUCAUCGGCUAAACUGAUCACAACUAAACGUGGUACGCGUCCAUCGCCCUCUUCGUCGGCAUCAACAACAUUUCGGGGGCCGAAUCCAGGUUGAAAAACUGAGUUUUGGAUGAUUUUAUCUUUGACGUGUACACUACCACCCUUCUGUGCUCGACCACAGAUAGAUAUAUGGACAAUAAUAUAUAGAGGAAAGGACCAUCCUUCCAUUUUGAAACCGGAAAGACUACAGGUUCAGUCAGAACAGAAGGAGGAGGCUCUUCGUUGCAUCGAAACCCAACAAUUCAUGCUUUUACAUGGUUAGUAGGAUAAUAUUCUUGUGUGUUUCUAUUGCUGCUAACCAUGCCAGGAUCACAAGCCGACGAGAUUGACUGGGAGAACUUGACGAACAAGGAGCUUCAUGAUAAGUUUCAGCAAAUGAUGAGUGGACAGGUGGAGAAUGUGUUAAACAGAUUUGACGAGGCUAUGGAGAAGAUAGAUGGCAUGGAGAAGACGUUUGAAACAAAGCUUGAUAACAAGUUUGCUGAAUUGCUUUCGCGUUUUCCACCACCACCACCGGCUGCACCUGCCGCACGUCUGCAACAACAACAACGACUACCUCCGCAUCGGGAAACAACCCUCCGCCGAGCGAGCCGUGUCCCUCUUCAGCCUGGCCAAACUGCUGGUGUUGUUGUUGAUACUUCUGUGGCUCCUGCUGCUGAUGUGGAGAAGGAUGAUUAUGCGGGAGAUUACGAGGAUGAGGUUGAUGAAAAUCAGAACUACGUGCAACCACUAGCACCACAACCACCAGGUCGUCCACAUGCAAAUAAUGGCAAUGUUAGGGCUCCCCCUCAGGUACAAGAUCAUGACCAUCUCCCUAAACUGAAAUUGAAUAUUCCACCAAUUGAGGGUAGAUAUGUUCCUGAUAUAUAUCUUACUUGGGAGUUAGAAACUGAACAACGAUUUACAUGUUUACAAUAUCCUGGGGAGAGACGUGUUCCUCCUGCUGUUUGUGCUUUCACUAGCUUUGCAUGUGUUUGGUGGUCUGAACAUUAUCGAUUAUAUCUUGUUCCAACUACUUGGGCUGCUUUGAAAACUGCUAUGCGUACUCGUUGGGUUCCACCAUAUUAUCAACGUGAAUUACUUCAAAAAUUGCAGCGCUUAAAACAAGGAAAAAAUUCGAUAGAAGAAUAUUAUCAUGAAUUACAAACUGGCUUGAUUAGAUGUGGUAUUGUUGAGGAGAAUGAAGCUAUGCUUGCACGUUUUCUGGGUGGAUUAAAUAGAGAGAUUCAGACCAUUCUAGACUACAAGGAUUAUAAUAAUAUCACUCGAUUAUUCCAUCUUGCUUGUAAAGCUGAACGUGAAGUGCAGGAUCAACAGGCAUUGGCGCGGACUAACUUUUCUGCAGGUCAACCUUCAUCAUGGACACCACGUGCAUCAUCUACUUCCACACGUUCUGCUACACCGGCACCUCCGUUGGCUGCCACCUCCAACCGUGAUACAAUAAAGCAGGAACAAUCACCACUAUCUACCAAGAGCACACCUUCUAGGCCUGCAAAGAGCUCUUCUUCAUCCAUGGCAUCAACAGGGCAAACACAUGAUAUUAUUUGUCGAUGUUGCAAGGGUGGAGGUCAUUAUGCGAGAGAAUGCCCAUCUAAGCGUGUGAUGAUUGUUACUGAGGAUGGUGGGUAUGAGUCCGCUAGUGACUAUGAUGAGGAGACUUUGGCUCUUAUUACACAUGAAGAACAUGGUGGAGAUGAUUCUGAUCAUGAGAUGCAAUACAUGGCUGCUGAAGAUGCUGACAGGUAUGAAUGUUUAGUGGCUCAACGUGUUUUGAGUAAGCAGGUUACACAAGCUGAGCAAAGUCAGAGGCAUAAUUUGUUCCAUACAAAGGGAGUUGUGAAGGAACGUUCUAUUCGUGUCAUCAUAGAUGGAGGGAGCUGCAACAACUUGGCUAGCAUGGAGAUGGUGGAGAAGCUAUCUCUCACCACAAGACCACAUCCACAUCCUUACUACAUCCAAUGGUUCAACAACAGCGGCAAGGUUAAGGUAACACGUACUGUUCGUGUGCAUUUUAGUAUCUCUACAUAUGCUGAUUAUGUUGAUUGUGAUGUGGUACCUAUGCAAGCAUGUUCCUUAUUACUUGGUAGACCAUGGCAAUUUGAUAAAAAUUCUAUACACCAUGGUAGAAACAAUCAGUAUACUCUUGUUCAUAAGGAUAAAAAUAUUACUUUGCUUCCUAUGACUCCUCAUUCCAUUUUGAAAGAUGAUAUUAAUAGAGCUAAUAAAGCAAAACAGGAGAUAAAUAAGAGUGAAAAUCAGAUUGUGGCAAAAGAAUUUGAGCAACAAAUGAAGCCUAAUAAUAAACCAUCUAGUGUUGCUUCUGAAAUUAAAUUGAAAAGUGCAUGUUUACUUGCCACCAAAUCUGAUAUUGAUGAGCUAGAUUCUAGCAAAUCUGUUUGCUAUGCUUUUGUGUGCAAAGAGGCAUUAUUUUCAUUCAAGGACGUGCCUUCCUCUUUGCCCCCUAUUGUCACUAACAUUUUGCAGGAGUUCGCUAACGUCUUCCCACAAGACGUGCCACCGGGAUUACCACCUAUUCGAGGGAUUGAGCAUCAAAUUGACUUAAUUCCCGGUGCAUCGCUACCCAACCGUGCACCAUACCGUACCAAUCCAGAGGAGACGAAGGAGAUUAUGCGUCAAGUACAGGAGCUGCUUGACAAAGGUUAUAUACGCGAAUCUCUUAGUCCUUGUGCUGUUCCUAUUAUACUAGUACCUAAAAAGGAUGGUACGUCGCGUAUGUGUGUUGAUUGUAGAGGCAUUAAUAAUAUUACUAUUCGUUAUCGUCAUCCUAUUCCUAGGCUAGAUGAUAUGCUUGAUGAAUUGAGUGGCUCUACAAUAUUCUCCAAAGUUGAUUUGCGUAGUGGAUACCAUCAAAUUCGUAUGAAAUUGGGAGAUGAAUGGAAAACAUCAUUUAAAACUAAGUUUGGUUUAUAUGGGUGGUUAGUCAUGCCUUUUGGGUUAACUAAUGCACCUAGUACUUUCAUGAGACUAAUGAACGAAGUUUUACGUGCUUUCAUUGGACGAUUUGUGGUAGUCUAUUUUGAUGAUAUACUGAUUUAUAGCAAAUCUUUGGAAGAACAUUUGGAACAUUUACGUGUUGUUUUUAUUGCUCUACGUGAUGCACGUUUGUUUGGUAACCUUGGGAAGUGCACCUUUUGCACCGACCGAGUAUCUUUUCUUGGCUAUGUUGUUACUCCAUAGGGAAUUGAAGUUGAUAAAGCCAAGAUUGAAGCUAUUGAGAGUUGGUCGUAGCCCAAAAUGGUCACACAAGUGCGCAGUUUUCUUGGACUCGCUGGUUUCUAUAGGCAUUUUGUGAGAGAUUUUAGCACCAUUGCUGCACCUCUCAACGAGCUUACAAAGAAGGAUGUGCCUUUUGUUUGGGGUACCGCACAGGAAGAAGCCUUCACGGUAUUGAAAGAUAAGUUGACACAUGCUCCUUUACUCCAACUUCCUAAUUUCAAUAAGACUUUUGAGCUUGAAUGUGAUGCUAGUGGAAUUGGAUUAGGAGGUGUGUUAUUACAAGAUGGAAAACCUGUUGCAUACUUUUCUGAAAAAUUGAAUGGGCCUAGUCUGAACAAUUCUACUUAUGAUAAAGAAUUAUAUGCUCUUGUUCGGACCUUAGAAACAUGGCAACAUUAUUUAUGGCCCAAGGAAUUUGUUAUACAUUCUGAUCAUGAAUCUUUGAAACACAUUAAAAGUCAAGCAAAACUGAACCGUAGACAUGCUAAAUGGGUUGAAUUCAUUGAGACUUUUCCUUAUGUCAUUAAACACAAGAAGGGUAAAGAAAAUGUUAUUGCUGAUGCCUUGUCUCGUCGUUAUACUAUGCUUUCACAACUUGACUUUAAAAUAUUUGGUUUGGAGACCAUCAAAGAUCAAUAUGUUCAUGAUGCUGAAUUUAAAGAUGUAUUGCAGAAUUGUAAGGAAGGGAGAACUUGGAACAAGUUCGUUCUUAACGAUGGAUUUGUGUUUCGUGCUAACAAGCUAUGCAUUCCAGCUAGCUCCGUUCGUCUUUUGUUGUUGCAGGAGGCGCAUGGAGGAGGAUUAAUGGGACACUUUGGCGUCAAGAAGACGGAGGAUAUACUUGCUACACAUUUCUUUUGGCCAAAGAUGAGACGGGAUGUUGAGCGUUUUGUUGCUCGCUGCACUACAUGUCAAAGAGCUAAGUCACGACUCAAUCCUCAUGGUUUAUAUAUGCCUUUGCCUGUACCUAGUGUUCCUUGGGAGGAUAUAUCUAUGGACUUUGUUUUAGGUUUACCUCGAACAAAGAAGGGGAGGGAUAGCAUAUUUGUUGUCGUGGAUAGGUUCUCGAAAAUGGCACACUUUAUACCAUGUCAUAAAAGCGAUGAUGCUGUUAAUGUUGCUGAUUUGUUAUUUCGUGAAAUUAUUCGCUUACAUGGUGUGCCAAAUACUAUUGUUUCAGAUCGUGAUACUAAAUUUCUUAGCCACUUUUGGAGAUGUUUAUGGGCUAAGUUGGGGACUAAGCUGCUUUAUAGUACUACUUGUCACCCCCAAACUGAUGGACAAACUGAAGAACAUUGUCUACUAUGCUUAGGGCUGUUUUGAAGAAUAACAAGAAAAUGUGGGAAGAAUGCUUGCCUCAUAUUGAAUUUGCUUAUAAUCGUUCAUUGCAUUCUACUACUAAGAUGUGCCCUUUUGAAAUUGUGUAUGGUUUCCUACCUCAUGCACCUAUUAAUUUGUCGCCUCUUCCAUCUUCAGAGAAGGUUAAUUUUGAUGCUAAAGAACGUUCUGAAUUGAUUUUAAAAAUGCAUGAGUUAACUAAGGAAAACAUUGAGCGUAUGAAUGCUAAAUAUAAACUUGCUGGAGAUAAGGGUAGAAAACAUGUUGUGUUUGCACCUGGAGAUCUUGUUUGGUUACAUUUGCGUAAAGAUAGAUUUCCUAAUCUGCGCAAAUCAAAGCUAAUGCCACGUGCUGAUGGUCCUUUUAAGGUGUUAGAGAAAAUAAAUGAUAAUGCAUAUAAACUUGAGCUACCUGUAGAUUUUGGGGUUAGUCCCACUUUUAACAUUGCAGAUUUGAAGCCUUAUUUGGGUGAGGAAGAUGCGCUUCCGUCGAGGACGACUUCAUUUCAAGAAGGGGAGGAUGAUGAGGGGAUCAAUACCAUUGUUACACCCACAACCCCUACUGUUACAUAUACUGGACCAAUUACUAGAGCUCGCGCACGCCAAUUAAAUUACCAGGUACUUUCGUUUCUUGGUAAUGAUUCUAAUGUUCAUGAGAUUAUGAUGCUGCCUAAAUUGGAUACAUUUGUUUUGCUUACAAAUGAAGGGCCUAGCUUGGAGAAGGAUGAACAUUGGAGCAAGAACACGCAUGGAGUUGAUGGCAUGCGCAAGGGGAUCAAGAACGGAGUUACAAGUGAUGAUUUCAGGACUUUGAAGCCGUCAUAAGGAGUGCAUGAAGCCUUGGAUGAAAUAUACAAGAUGCAACUUCAUAAUAUUCGUCUAUAGGCUAUUCUAGGUGCUGCGUCACCUUAUUAAUGGGCCAGGCCCAUGUAAUUUCGAAAUACUUAAGUAUAGGCUAUUUUUAGAGUCCGUAUGUGUGGGGAAACAAGAGUUAGGGUUGGUUUCGGACCCCACCCUCAAGGGCCACGAAAUUCCCCCCUCUUCCUCCAUAUAUACAGCCCUUAGGGCGUCGUUUAGACUUUGGGGUUUUGUUUAGAUUAAAAGUUCGCCAUAGUUGCAACUUUGCGUACUUCGUUUGUGUCCAACGACCAGACCAAGACGUCACAGAACCCCACCUUGAUCAAUAAAGCUUUCAUCUUAUAUUUGCAAUAUACCGAUUGCAAUCUCAGUUUCUUGCUUGUUCUUCAUUUGCUCGCAGGAAACAGACCCUCGUGGUCAGGUUGAUCGUGCUCCGGCGUGGUCAAUAACCCUCGGAAGUUGGUUUAGCGGUUGCUAAGGCGCGACGUCUCGCACGUCCGUAGUCGGAUCGUCAAGGUCGACUCCCACAGAAAACGAUAGCCACCAUCUCAUCGAAACAUCGGGACACCUUAGCCUCUAUUAGGAGCCAACAUGGGUAUCCAGAUCCCGCUGUUGGUUAUUGACCAGAGAGCGAUCUCGGUCAUGUCUACAUGUCUCCCGAACCCGUAGGGUCUACACACUUAAGGUUCGGUUACGCUAGGGUUGUAGGGAUAUGUAUAUGCAGUAACCCGAAUGUUUUUCGGAGUCCCGGAUGAGAUCCCGGACGUCACGAGGAGUUCCGGAAUGGUCCGGAGGUAAAGAAUUAUAUAUAGGAAGUGCUAUUUCGGCCGUCGGGACAAGUUUCGGGGUCACCGGUAUUGUACCGGGACCACCGGAAGGGUCCCGGGGGUCCACCGGGUGGGGCCAACUGCCCCGGGGGCCACAUGGGCUGUAGGGGUGUGCGCCUUGGCCUAUAUGGGCCAAGGUCACCAGCCCCAAGAGGCCCAUGCGCCAAGAGAUAAGAAAAGGAAGAGUCCUAAAGGGGGAAGGCACCUCCUAGGUGCCUUGGGAAGGAGGGAUUCCUCCCUUGGCCGCCGCCCCCCUAGGAGAUUGCAUCUCCUAGGGCCGGCGCCCCCCCUAGGCUCCCUAUAUAUAGUGGGGGAAGGAGGGCCUCUCAUACGACGCCUUUGGUGCCUCCCUCUCCCUCUCCAACACAUCCUCCUCCUCCAUAGAGCUUGGCGAAGCCCUACCGAAGUACUGCAGCUCCAUCACCACCACGCCGUCGUGCUGCUGCUGGAGCCAUCCUCCUCAACCUCUCCUUCCCUUGCUGGAUCAAGAAGGAGGAGACGUCACGCUGACUGUACAUGUGUUGAACACGGAGGUGCCGUCCGUUCGGCGCUAGGAUCUCCGGUGAUUUGGAUCACGUCGAGUACGCCUUCCUCAUCCCCGUUCUUUGAACGCUUCCACGCGUGAUCUACAAAGGUAUGUAGAUGCAAUCCGAUCACUCGUUGCUAGAUGAACUCCUAGAUGGAUCUUGGUGAAACCGUAGGAAAUUUUUUUGUUUUCUGCAACGUUCCCCAACAUUGGUCUGGUCGUUGAACACAAACGAAGUACGCGAAGUUGCAGCUAUGGCGAACUUUUGAUCUAAACAAAACCCAAAGUCUAAACGACGCCCUAAGGGCUGUAUAUAUGGAGGAAGAGGAGAGAAUUUCGUGGCCCUUGAGGGAGGGGUCCGAAACCAACCCUAACUCUUGUUUCCCCACACAUACGGACUCUAAAAACAGCCUAUACUUAAGUAUUUCGAAAUUACAUGGGCCUGGCCCAAUAAUAAGGUGACGCGGCACCUAGAAUAGCCUAUGGACGAAUAAUAUGAAGUGGCAUCUUGUAUAUUUCGUCCAAGGCCUCAUGCACUCAUUAUGGUGGCUUCAAAGUCCUGUAAUCAUCACUUGUAACUCUGUUCUUGUUCCCCUUGCGCAUGCCAACAUCUCCAUGCUUGAACUUGCUCCAAGGUUCAUCUUUCUUGUCCAUGGUAGGCCCUUCAUUUGUAAGCAAAACAAAUGUAUCCAAUUUAGGCAGCAUCAUAUUCUCAUGAAUAUUGGAAUCGUUACCAAGAAACAAAAGUACCUGAUAAUUCAAUUGGCGUGUGUGAGCUCUAGUAAUUGGUCCAGUAUGUAUAGCAGCAGGGGCUGUGGGUGUAACAAUGGUACUGAUGUCCUCAUCAUCCUCCCCUUCUUGAAAUGAAGUCGUCCUCGACGGAAGCUCAUCUUCCUCACCCAAAUAAGGCUUCAAAUCUGCAAUGUUAAAAAUGGGACUAACCCCAAAAUCUGCAGGCAGCUCAAGUUUAUAUGCAUUUUCAUUAUUUUCUCUAACACCUUAAAUGGACCAUCAGCACGUGGCAUUAGCUUUGAUUUGCGCAAAUUAGGAAACCUAUCCUUACGCAAAUGUAACCAAACAAGAUCUCCAGGUGCAAAGACAACAUGUUUCCUACCCUUAUCUCCAACAAGUUUAUAUUUAGCAUUCAUACGCUCAAUGUUUUCCUUAGUUAACUCAUGCAUUUUUAAAAUCAAUUCAACACGUUCUUUAGCAUCAAAAUUAACCUUCUCCGAAGAUGGAAGAGGCAACAAAUCAAUGGGUGCACGAGGUAGGAAACCAUAAACAAUUUCAAAAGGACACAUCUUAGUAGUAGAAUGCAACGAACGAUUAUAAGCAAAUUCAAUAUGAGGCAAGCAUUCUUCCCACAUUUUCUUAUUAUUCUUCAAAACAGCCCUAAGCAUAGUAGACAAUGUUCUAUUGACUACUUCAGUUUGUCCAUCAGUUUGGGGGUGACAAGUAGUACUAAAAAGCAAUUUAGUCCCCAACUUAGCCCAUAAACAUCUCCAAAAGUGGCUAAGAAAUUUAGUAUCACGAUCUGAAACAAUAGUAUUUGGCACACCAUGCAAGCGAAUAAUUUCACGAAAGAACAAAUCAGCAACAUUAACAGCAUCAUCGCUUUUAUGACAUGGUAUAAAGUGUGCCAUUUUCGAGAAUCUAUCCACGACAACAAAUAUGCUAUCCCUCCCCUUCUUUGUUCGAGGUAAACCUAAAACAAAGUCCAUAGAUAUAUCCUCCCAAGGAAUACUAGGCACAGGCAAAGGCAUAUAUAAACCAUGAGGAUUGAGUCGUGACUUAGCUUUUUGACAUGUAGUGCAGCGAGCAACAAAACGCUCAACAUCCUGUCUCAUCUUUGGCCAAAAGAAAUGUGUAGCGAGUACGUCCUCCGUCUUCUUCACGCCAAAGUGUCCCAUUAAUCCUCCUCCAUGCGCCUCCUGCAACAACAAAAGACAAACGGAGCUAGCUGGAAUGCAUAGCUUAUUAGAACGAAACACAAAUCCAUCAUUAACGACGAACUUGUUCCAUGUUCUACCUUCUUUACAAUUCUGCAAUACAUCUUUAAAUUCCGCAUCAUGCACAUAUUGAUCUUUGAUGGUCUCCAAACCAAAUAUUUUAAACUCAAGUUGUGAAAGCAUAGUAUAACGACGAGACAAUGCAUCAGCAAUAACAUUUUCUUUACCCUUCUUGUGUUUAAUGACAUAAGGGAAAGUCUCAAUGAAUUCAACCCAUUUAGCAUGUCUACGGUUCAGUUUUGCUUGACUUUUAAUGUGUUUCAAAGAUUCAUAAUCAGAAUGUAUAACAAAUUCUUUGGGCCAUAAAUAAUGUUGCCAUGUCUCUAAAGUCUGAACAAGAGCAUAUAAUUCUUUAUCAUAAGUAGAAUAGUUCAGACUAGGCCCACUCAAUUUUUCAGAAAAGUAUGCAACAGGUUUGCCAUCUUGUAAUAACACACCUCCUAAUCCAAUUCCACUAGCAUCACAUUCAAGCUCAAAAAUCUUAUUAAAGUCAGGAAGUUGAAGUAAAGGAGCAAGUGUCAACUUAUCUUUCAAUACCGUGAAGGCUUCUUCCUGUGCGGUACCCCAAACAAAAGGCACAUCCUUCUUUGUAAGCUCAUUGAGAGGUGCAGCAAUGGUACUAAAAUCUCUCACAAAAUGCCUAUAGAAACCAGCCAGGCCAAGGAAACUCCUCACUUGUGUGACCGUUUUGGGCUGCGGCCAACUCUCAAUAGCUUCAAUCUUGGCUUUAUCAACUUCAAUUCCCUGUGGAGUAACAACAUAGCCAAGAAAAGAUACUCGGUCGGUGCAAAAGGUGCACUUCCCAAGGUUACCAAACAAACGUGCAUCACGUAGAGCAUUAAAAACAGCACGUAAAUGUUCCAAAUGUUCUUCCAAAGAUUUGCUAUAAAUCAGUAUAUCAUCAAAAUAGACUACCACAAAUCGUCCAAUGAAAGCACGUAAAACUUCGUUCAUUAGUCUCAUGAAAGUACUAGGUGCAUUAGUUAACCCAAAAGGCAUGACUAACCACUCAUAUAAACCAAACUUAGUUUUAAAUGCUGUUUUCCAUUCAUCUCCCAAUUUCAUACGAAUUUGAUGGUAUCCACUACGUAAAUCAACUUUGGAGAAUAUUGUAGAGCCACUCAAUUCAUCAAGCAUAUCAUCUAGCCUAGGAAUAGGAUGACGAUAACGAAUAGUAAUAUUAUUAAUGCCUCUAUAAUCAACACACAUACGCGAU
This 76233-nucleotide long non-coding RNA is filed under the name Triticum aestivum (bread wheat). RNAcentral's name for it is "long non-coding RNA (TAES_LNC020663)". Lineage: Eukaryota; Viridiplantae; Streptophyta; Magnoliopsida; Poales; Poaceae. The record is from RNAcentral.